GUGUUCUUUCAUUUAGGAAAUUAAGUUGUAGAUUGACUGGUAAAAUACUUUUGUUUAUCACGCUCAUGAUGUGGUCAGAUUUACCAGAUAAAUGAUAAACCUCCCUUGGCUCGUAAAGGCCAAGAGUGCAAUCAUGUCAACAUCCAAUAUCAAAUAACGUUAAAAAAGUUGCAUUAUAUCGCCAACAAAAGUAUAAAUUCGUUGAACAAAGACUACCACAUAACUUUUUCAGAUACAUGAUAAAGUAGGAGUUUGAAUAAGUGUUCUUUCCCUUAAAAAAUCAACUGGCAGAGCGACAGUCAAAAAACUUUUUGUUUAUCAAACUCAUGCUGUGGUCAUAUAUUCGGACUUUCAAGUCACAAUAUUCAUUGAUCUAAUUCGAAAGAUCAAAUUUGCAGGUGGGGACUUGAACCAUUAUCUUCUUUCAAAGAUUCAGCGAGUGAUCUAUACAGUAAAAUAGUGAUAGAAAAAACAGACUGUUGAUACGAGUUUUAUUUGCUCUGUGUAGGGUAAUAUUAUUACUUCAUUAUCGAAUGAACAGUUGUCCUUGGAUCCCGAAUGUGAGAAAAACAAUAGCUAUAUAUAACUUGCAAGAGGCUGAUAGCAAGGAAGUUAAGGAAAUUGAUGCAGGCUAUAGCGGAAUUGAACCAAACAUGAUGAAGGUAAGUACAAAUGAAGUGAAAUAUGUCCAUAAAUCUUCGAGUAAUAUUACACUUCCCAACGACUAGAGUAAUAAAUAAUUAGGAAAGGGACAAACACACCCUCAACAUUUAGGCAAAAUGAUAAAAACCCUCCUAAUAUUUUAAAAAAGACAUUUAUACCCUAAUUUAUUAUAACUUUACCAUUAUACCCUUCUAGCAUAUAAAAAAAAUUAUUAGAUUAUCCAAUUUGUCUAUAUAUUGUUAAUAAAAUUAUAAAUAUACCCUCAUUACCUCAUUCCUCUAUUUAAAUUUUUAUCAAUAACCAAAUUUCAAAAAAGACAUCUACACACUUAAAAAAAAAUUGUAAAAAAAUUGUAAUUUUAAAAAUAAAAUUUGUUAUNNNNNNNNNNNNNNNNNNNNNNNNNNNNNNNNNNNNNNNNNNNNNNNNNNNNNNNNNNNNNNNNNNNNNNNNNNNNNNNNNNNNNNNNNNNNNNNNNNNNNNNNNNNNNNNNNNNNNNNNNNNNNNNNNNNNNNNNNNNNNNNNNNNNNNNNNNNNNNNNNNNNNNNNNNNNNNNNNNNNNNNNNNNNNNNNNNNNNNNNNNNNNNNNNNNNNNNNNNNNNNNNNNNNNNNNNNNNNNNNNNNNNNNNNNNNNNNNNNNNNNNNNNNNNNNNNNNNNNNNNNNNNNNNNNNNNNNNNNNNNNNNNNNNNNNNNNNNNNNNNNNNNNNNNNNNNNNNNNNNNNNNNNNNNNNNNNNNNNNNNNNNNNNNNNNNNNNNNNNNNNNNNNNNNNNNNNNNNNNNNNNNNNNNNNNNNNNNNNNNNNNNNNNNNNNNNNNNNNNNNNNNNNNNNNNNNNNNNNNNNNNNNNNNNNNNNNNNNNNNNNNNNNNNNNNNNNNNNNNNNNNNNNNNNNNNNNNNNNNNNNNNNNNNNNNNNNNNNNNNNNNNNNNNNNNNNNNNNNNNNNNNNNNNNNNNNNNNNNNNNNNNNNNNNNNNNNNNNNNNNNNNNNNNNNNNNNNNNNNNNNNNNNNNNNNNNNNNNNNNNNNNNNNNNNNNNNNNNNNNNNNNNNNNNNNNNNNNNNNNNNNNNNNNNNNNNNNNNNNNNNNNNNNNNNNNNNNNNNNNNNNNNUAUCCUUGGGGUGAUCAACGAUUCCUAUUUAGUUUGGGUAAAAUUAUAAUAAAUUAGGGUGUAAAUGUCUUUUUUGAAACAUUAGGGGGGUUUUUGUCAUUUUACCUAAACGUUAGGGGUGUGUUUGUCCUUUUCCCUAAAUAAUUUUGCAACUUUUAAAUUUCAUAAUCCAAUACAUAAGUACCACUAAUACAAGAGAAAUUCUAGAAUAUAUCAAAGGUACCAUGCGCUAUAAUUAUUUGAGUAAUGCUACACUUUCCAACUAGAUAAUAAUUGAUUUUGCGGGUUAUGAAAAUCAUUCAAUAGAUGAGUCCUUCUAGUAUUAUUCAUAACUUUUAUAUGCGGCCUCUAGUAUUAUUCAUAACUUUUAUAUGCGGCACCAAAUUAUUGAUCAAAUAGAUGUCUAUGGGCCUAAGCUUUUCUCAAAAGUUAGCUUAAGAGUUCAAGACUCCCAAGCCAUAAAUAUUUAAUAUAAAUAUUUAAUGGAGGAUUCCAUUUCGAUCUAAAGUGGGAUAAUGUCCUAGGUUUACCUUGGAAAAUCUUUGAUACUCACAGACGUGGAACUCAAAUUAAAAAACUUAUGCCGCAUUAAUUAAUUUAUACAAAAUGAUCAGUUUGUAUAUGGGUCUUGCGGCUCUAUCAUUUACUCAAUUUUUAUUAUUAAAGAUUUUUCUUUGUUUUACACCUUAUACCUUUCAUGGUCGUUUUCAAAACAAGUUGUACAUAGUUAUAUUGACUUAGGCUUGAUUAAUUUUGCUAUUGAUAUGUUUUCAAAUGAUUUACAUGAUUCAGGAUGACAAUCAAAAGGAGUUUUCACCAGAAGAAAGUAAAAUGGAUAGCCCAUUUGCUAUGUUUGCACAAUGCAUUUCGCACAUUAUUUCUCUUAUAACUCCUGGCAAUGCAAGCAAAUUAUCAUCGACAUAUCCCGCCUUCAAAUCAGUUGUGGAUUCAGAUUCCGUAUGGGAGAAGUUUUUGCUGUCCGAUUACAAGACGAUCAUUUCUAUCUCAUCAUUCUCUACUUCAUCUUUGGUCACUUCGUUGUCUAAGAAGAAACUUUAUUUUCAUCUUUGUUACAACCCCAUUCUCAUCAACAAUAAUACCAUGAGCUUCGCGCUAGAUCACGAAAGUGGGAAAAAAUUUUACAUGGUUGGGGCAAGAGGGCUUUCUAUCACAUGGGGAAGUUCACCCCAACAUUGGAAAUGGCUUUCUCUACCAGAGUCUAGGUUCGUUUUGUUCUCCCCCGACUUUAUAUUUGCUUCAAUAUAUUUAUUUUUCAAAAAAAAAAUGGUAGAGGAUUGGGUGGAGCCCAAAUCAUUUUUUUUUUCAAUCCCUAUCUUCCAAAAUUUAAACUUAGGUGGCCAAUUAAAUGAAAUUGCUUCAAUAUUUUUUAAUCGUUGAAAUAAAUUAAAAGGAGUUAGCUAUUUACUUACUAUAUCCAUGUAUAUUAUGCCAAUGCAUUUGUAGGUUUCCUGAAGUGGCUGAACUCAAGCUUGUGUGGUGCUUCGAAAUCAUGGCAAGAAUUGAGACAAAAAUGUUGUCAUCCAAAACCAACUAUGCAACCUACCUUGUGUUCAAGUUUGUUGAAACAAGAGAAGGGUUUGAAACUAGACCAAUAGAGUUUGAUGUCUAUUUUGAGGGAAACGAUACUCACAAAAUGCAUAGCGCGUUGCUAGAUCCCCCAGCGAAUAUGCCUCAACUAUCUCUAAAUAGAAGAGAUGGGUGUAUGGAGAUUGGGAUGGGUGAGUUCUUUAAUGAAAAUGGAGAUGAUGGAGCGGUAAUUUGUAGGGUGUGUGAAUCAGAACCGACGCCUAAGUGUGGCAUCAUUAUCGAAGGAAUUGAACUUAGGCCUAAAAAUGGCAGAUAAAUACAAUUAUUUCAAUUGAAAAACGUUCAUGUUGUGUAUGUUGUAUUAAUUUGUUAAUGUUUUCCUUGUCGGUAUCGCAUGGGCAACCACUAGUACAGAAAGUGAUAACAUUGACCCAUUUUUUGUGUCUGUCUGUAGUAGUGAACCGUCAUGAUUAAUUUGUAAUAACGGUUCUAAUAUAAACGGUCAUGAAUUAUGUGUGUAACAAUGACUAUUGAAAUAAAAAUACGGUCAUCAUAUCUCAAUUUAAAAAUAAAGAAAUUUUUUUUUUUUGCUUCUGCUGUGAUCCAAAGUGAGAAAAUUAUAUUUAUCAGCUUUCGACUUUCGUCUUCCUCUUUGCUUGUCUAAGAGCUUCUUGUGUUCGUCAAGGGUGGUUCCUCAUCUUCUCAAGUUUAUAACUUACGGCCGUCCAAGGUGCUGAAAUUAAACAACACCAGCCCAAUAUCAAAUUCCAAAUGUGUUAGAAAUAAUUUGAAGUCCAAGCCCAAGCAUGAGAAGCUUCUAAAUUAUGUUGUGAUAAACAACAUUACAAUAAUGGAGUGCAAACGUGUGAAGCAAUAAGCUAUAUAAUUUUUUAAUGUGAUUGGAAAAAAUGGAGUGCAAACAAUAAGUUACAUAGUUUUUUAAUGUGAGUAAUGGAAAGCAAACAUGCAAGGUGUUACAGCCUUAAAACUCGAGUCACGCCAAUGCUUGGCUUGCGGCCUUGUGCCACGCAUAAGGUGGCAGCGGAUGUGCGAGAAAACAAGGCAAGUCUGCACGCGGGCUGGGACGUGGCAGCAACUAGCGGACUAAUGGGCAGCGCGCGCGAGAUAUGUCCGGGGCAGCGCACAAGUGCUCCAAGGAUUUAGCGCGCACAUGAAUGCGGGCAACUCAGACGCACGCUAAAGGGCAGCAGGCGAGCGCACGCAGCGGGCAAGCACGCGCCCCAAUCAGCAUGCACGCACACAAAGCGUGCAGGGCAGCGCGCAUGCGCACGCUAACGGAUAGUGGACAGGCGCGCCAAUGGAGCGCACACGCACGGAACAUGUGCCACACACAAGCAUCAGCACAAGGGGAUUGUUGGAGCAAUUCUUAGUGGCGGCGACCCGCCACUACAUGAGCACUACCCAAAACAAGGAUGUUGUCUAAGUGGGGAUGGUCCGCCACUAUUCAAUGUAACCUAAAUAAUAGUGUAUGGGCAAAGCACUAGGGUAGUGGGCUUAAUUGUUUAGUGUGUUGGUGGCAAACAAGGUAUGGGGUGGGAAUACUCUACACUAUCCUAGUAAGUGGGGCUGUCACUUACAAAUGCUAUAAGUAGCAUUAUGGGGGAGAGCUUGGGGAGAUAAGUUUUGUAGACAGUGAGUGGUAUUCUCCUAGCACUCUUGCUGGAAGCUAUUUGUAGCUCCUUGUUCUUGAUUAAAAAGAAAAGGUUGGAAGUCGGUGCUUCUGUAAAUCUCGUGUGCCUUGUGUUUGUGUUUCGGUUAUUGUAUCGUUGAAAAUCUUGGGGUGUGUUUCACACACGUAGCCUCUGUUGCGAAUUCUCGAGUGGCUGGCUAAGCAGAAAACUUAGCGCCAUCACGGGCUUGCCGCAUCGAAGAAAAUAGCCUUGUGACAGUUUGGUAUCAGAGCCUCGAUUCAACAACAUGUCGAGAGACACUUUGAAAGAUAGAAUGAGUCGGAUGGAAGCUGUUGUCGAGGAAGUACACCCCGGAGAGGAAAUCUCUAUUGAUUUGGCGAAUCUGAAGUUGGCCUUUGAUGGGUUAACUAAAGAUGUUGCUGAAAAACUCGGUUCGGUGAUGGAAGAUGUUGCUGCUUUGGUGGGGUAGCUAAAAGGUAGCGUCGCUAACCUUGAAAGUGAGUUGAGCUUGCUAAAGCACACGGUAAGUACAACUUCUAUGCAUUCGGAGGGAGGGCCUUCGAAGAUCAAGGUUCCGGAGCCGAAACCAUUUGGCGGUAAGCGGAGCGCCAAAGAGCUAGAGAACUUCUUGUGGGAUAUGGAGCAGUAUUUCAAGGCUGCUCGGAUACCUGAAGCGGAGCGGGUUUCCAUUACAAGUAUGUAUCUUGAGGGGGAUGCAAAGCUUUGGUGGCAGAGUAGACUUCAAGAAGAUGCUGAAGCCAACCGACCAACUAUCGAAACGUGGGAAUCACUGAAGCGAGAGUUGAAGGGUCGAUUCUUGCCGGUUAAUGGGAGCUGGAUAGGGAGAAAAUGCUUGAAGAAGCUCAAACAUACUGGUUCAAUCAGGGAUUAUGUGAAGGAAUUUAGUUCUUUGAUGCUGGAUAUCAAGAACAUGUCCGAUGAAGACAAGAUUUUCAACUUCAUGAGUGGUUUGCAACCGUGGGCGCAAACUGAAUUGAGAAGGCAGGUUGUGCAUGACUUGCCGAUGGCGAUUCCCGCUGCGGAAGGUUUGGUUGAUUUUAGGUUUGCGAGUUCUUCUCCCUCCAAACCUAAAAAGAAUAAAGAUUCGAAGAAAUUUGGCCCUUCUAAGCGUGAUGGCGGAAAGAAAGGGAGCUUUGCGGGAAAAGCCAAAUCAAAAGAUGGACAUGAGAAGAAAAGCUCGGGAUGCUUCAUAUGUGACGAACCACACCGGGAGAGGGAUUGCCCAAAGCGGACACAGCUGAAUGCUAUGGUCAAGGAAAUGGAGGCGGAACCUUCCAAUAAGGCAAGUACUUCUCGAAUGAACCCUUUACAAUUGAUGAAUACUUUGAGGGAGGAAGUCGUGUGCAAUGACUUCAAUCAAGGGUUGAUGGUCAUGACUGUUUUGGUGGAUGGGAAGGAAGUGCGUGCUAUACUGGACACAGGAGCCACAACAAACUUUCUUGCGUCCUAUGAAGUGACGCGUUUGGGUUUGAAAGUAACGGCUGUGGGCAGCAAAGUGAAGGCUGUAAAUUCGGCUAGUGUUGGUGUUCAAGUGGCUGUGCAAAGUUCACUACGGGUCGGAACUUGGCAGAAAACGGUAAAGUUCACUAUCAUGCCUCUUGAUGAUUUGAAUUUAAUCCUUGGUAUGUAAUUCUUUAUGGCUGCAAUGGUACAACUAAUGCCUUAUCGGAAAAGCAUUUUAAUCAUUGGUACGGAGACACCAUGCAUUGUACCAUGCAAUUUUAUGGUCCAUGGCAGAUCAAAACCAUCACUCCAAUCUGCGAGACAAUUUGCGAAAGGCUUGAAACGGAAGGAGAACUCUUGCUUGGCAGCGUUGUUGGAGAUAAAACCUGAUCAGGUUGUAGAGGUGCCUAAUGAGUACGCCCAAGUGUUGGAUGAGUUUGCGGAUGUCAUGCCGCCGGAGCUCCCUCGAGCCUUACCACCAAAACGUAUUGUAGAUCAUCGAAUUGAUCUAGAGCUUGGAGCGAGACCCCCUGCUCAGGCUCCAUAUCGGAUGUCGCCUUCGGAGUUGGUGGAACUUCAGAAGUAAUUGGAUGAUUUGCUGGAUGCGGGAUUCAUAUAACCAUCCAAAGCACCUUAUGGCACACCGAUAUUAUUUCAAAGGAAGCAAGAUGGCUCAAUACGGAUGUGUGUGGACUACCGCGCCUUGAACAAGUUAACAAUAAAAAAAAAUAUUAUGUCCCUAACAUUGCGGAUUUGUUUGAUCGUUUGGGCAGAGCCUCUUACUUUACAAAACUGAACUUGAUCGGGAUAUUGGCAAGUACGGAUUGCGGAAGGCGACGAAGCAAAAACAGUUUGCGUAACUUGGUAUGGGUUAUAUGAGUUCUUGGUGAUGCCUUUCCGACUCACCAAUGGGCCUACAACAUUCUGUAAUUUAAUGAAUGACUUGUUGUAUGAGUACUUGGACCGCUUUGUGGUGGUGUAUCUCGAUGAUAUAGUUGUGUACAGUGAGUCUUUGGCGAAUCACUUGGAUCACCUUAGACUAUUGUUCUCACGGUUACGGGAGCAUAAACUCUUUGUCAAGAAGGAAAAAUGUGAGUUUUGUCGCCGGGAGAUAAUUUUCUUGGGGCAUCGGGUAAGCCAAGGCAGAAUUCGCAUGGAUGAGAGCAAGGUCAAGGGUAUCCUUGAUUGGCCUGCACCUACAAAGGUGGCGGAACUUCGGUCGUUUCUUGGGACUAGCUAACUACUACCGCAAGUUCAUCAAGGAGUGCUCAAAAUGGGUUAGUGUACUCACGGACUUGUUGAAGAAAGAUCAGAAGUGGGAAUGCACGGAAGCGUGCCAGCAAGCAUUUGAGAAACUCAAGCAAGCAGUAGCUUCGGAGUCGGUGCUCAAACUACCGGAUUUCAGCUUGCCACCUGAGGUACAUACGGAUGCAUCGGAUAGGGACAUUAGUGGCGUGCUGAUUAAAGAUGGCCACCCGGUAGCUUUUGAAAGCCGGAAGCUAAAGGAUGCAGAACAAAGGUACUCGGCACAUGAAAAGGAGAUGACGGCAGUGGUACAUUGCCUAAGCACUUGGAGGCACUACUUGCUACGUACGGUUUUUUCUGUUGUUACGGAUAAUGUUGCUAAUACUUAUUUUAAGACGCAGAAGAAGCUAUCACCAAAACAAGCAAGAUGGCAAGAGUUCCUUGCCGAAUAUGACUCUGUAUGGAUACAUAGGCCGAGAAGGCUAAAUCAGGUUGCGGAUGCUCUCAGCCGCAAAACAGUUGAAGCGUAUGUGGCCGCUUUGACAACUGUGGUGAUGGAUUUUCUUGACAAGAUUCAGCAGCAAGCGGCAACGGAUACAAGCUACUGCCAACUCCGUGAGAAGAUCAUGCAGGGCUUGGUGUGGAGAUAUUGGGUUGAAGAGGAUCUAAUUUAUGCACGAGGUGGGAAGCUAUAUGUUCCUUCGGGAGGGGACUUGCGGUGAAUUUUGUCGCGGUAUACACAUGAUUCUCAAUGGGCUGGACAUCCAGGGGUGGAAAGGAUGAUGGCGUUGCUGGAACGUUCAUAUUUCUGGACUAAAAUGGAGGAUGACGUGCGGUUAUCCGUCAAAGCUUGCCUAGUGUGUCAACUAGACAAGACGGAGAAGAGAAAGCCAGUGGUACUUCUACAACCAUUGUCAAAUCCGAAGAGACUUUGGCAAUCUAUCUCAAUGGAUUUCAUUUCGGGAAUGGCUAAAUCGAAAGGGCAGAAAUCGAUUCUUGUUGUGGUUGAUCGAUUUUUAAAAUAUGCAAUAUUUAUGCCCGCACCUCAUGCUUGCCCAGCGAACAAGGCAGCAGAGCUGUUUUUCAAGCAUGUGGUUAAAUACUUUGGUGUUCCGAAGGACAUCAUUAGUGACCGGGAUGCUCAGUUCACCGAAAGGUUUUGGACAGUACUCUUCAAUUUGAUGGGGACAGAAUUGAACUUUUCUACUGCCAAUCAUCCUCAGACGGACGGAUAAACGGAGAGGGUGAAUGCAUUAUUGGAAGAAUACUUACGACACUAUGUGACAGCAAGCCAAAAGAAUUGGGUGGACUUGCUGGAUGUAGCUCAAUUUCGCUAAAACAUCCAUCACUGCGACAGGGAUAAGCCCAGCGGAGUUGGUCAUGGGGCAACAACCAUUGACUCCUCACGAAGUGGCGAAAUAACAUACUGGCGGGAAAUGCCCUGCAGCUUACCGAUUCGCGCGAGACAAGCAAGAAAUGAUCGAGAUAGCCAUUGAUAGCUUGGCGAAGGCAUCGCGAUGAAUGAAGAAGUAUGCGGAUGCUGGAAGACAACCGCUGGAGUUCAAUGUGGGUGACAAGAUGUUGCUAAAACUAACGCCUCAGAUUUGGAAGAAAAUCAAUGGCAAAAUGGUGCAUCGAGGGCUGGUACCGAAGUAUGACGGACCAUUUGAGGUAAUGAAACAGAUGGGUCAGGUUGCGUAUCAGUUACGGCUGCCUGAGCGGUUGAAAAUACAGCCUACAUUUCAUGUAAGUUUCCUUAAACAUUUCAAUGAAGACUUGGCUGAAACGGGACGCCAACAAGCCAAGGGUGCUCCACCGAUAAUUCGGAAGCAGUAUGACAAGGAAGUGGAGAGAAUUCUUGAUCAUAAAACCAUGGGGCAAAGUAAAAAGAAUCGGAGAACGGAAUUUCUGAUUCAAUGGAAGGGAGGUAGCGAAGCGGAUGCUAGCUGGGAAAAGGAAGUAUCUUUGUGGCAAUUCGAGCGGGAGGUUAAAGCGUACUUGGACUCCUUGCCGACGAGGGCGUCGGGUUCUUCUGGUGGGGGAGGCUUGUUACCGCCUUAAAACUUGAGGCAUGUCAAUGCUUGGCUUGCGGCCAUGUGCCAAGCAUAAUGUGGCAACGGACGUGCGAAAAAACAAGGCAAGUCUGCAUGCGGGCUGGGGCGUGGCAGCAACUAGCAGGCUGAUGGGCAGCGCGCGCGAGAUAUGCGUGGGGCAGCGCACAACUACUCCAAGGAUUUAGCCCGCACACGAAUGCGCACAACUCAGACUCACGCUAAAGGGCAGCGGGCGAGCGCGCUCGCCAAGCAGUAUGUGCGCACACAAAGCGUGCGGGGCAGCACGCACACGCACGCUAAGGGAUAUCGGACAGGCGCGGUAACGGAUAUCGAACAGGCGCGCCAAUGGAGCGCACACGCAUGGAACAUGUGCCACACACAAGCAUCAGCGCAAGGGGAUUGUUGGAGCCAUUCUUAGUGGCGGCGACCCGCCACUACAUGAGCACUACCCAAAACAAGGAUGUUGUCUAAGUGGGAAUGGUCCGCCACUAUUCAAUGUAACCUAAAUAAUGGUGUAUGGGCAAAGCACUAGGGUAGUGGGCUUAAUUGUUUAGUGUGUUGGUGGCAAACAAGGUAUAGGGUGGGAAUACUCUAUACUAUCCUAGUAAGUGGGGCUGUCACUUACAAAUGCUAUAAGUAGCAUCAUGGGGGACGAGCUUGGGGAGCCAAGUUUUGUAGACAGUGAGUGGUAUUCUCCUAGCACUCUUGUUGGAAGCUAUUUGUAGUUCCUUGUUCUUGAUUAAUAAGAAAGGUUGGAAGUUGGUGCUUCCAUAAAUCUCGUGUGCGUUGUGUUUGUGUUUCAGUUGUUGUAUCGUUGAAAUUCUUGGGGUGUGUUUCACACACGUAGCCACCGUUGCAAAUUGUCGAGUGGCUAGUUAAGCAGAAAACUUAGCGCCAUCACGGGCUUGCCGCAUCGAAGAAAAUAGCCUUGUGACAAUUUGGUAUUAGAGCCUCAAUUCAACAUGUCGGGAGACACCUUGAAAGAUAGAAUGAGUCGGAUGGAAGCUGCUGUCGGGGAAGUACACCCCGGAGAGGAAUCUUUGGCUGUCAAAACAGAGGUAAUCUCCAUUGAUAUGGCGAAUCUGAAGUUGGCCUUUGAUGGGUUAACUAGAGAUGUUGCUGAAAAACUCGGUUCGGUGAUGGAAGAUGUUGAUGCUUUGGUGGGGGAGCUAAAGGGUAAGAUCGCUAACCUUGAAAGUGAGUUGAGCUUGCUAAAGCGCGCAGUAAGUACAACUUCUAUGCAUUCGGAGGGAGGGCCUUCGAAGAUCAAGGUUCCGGAGUCGAAACAAUUUGGCGGUACGCGGAGCGCCAAAGAGCUGGAGAACGUCUUUAGGGAUAUGGAGCAGUAUUUCAAGGCUGCUCGGAUACCCGAAGUGGAGCGGGUUUCCAAUACAAGAAUGUGUCUUGAGGGAGAUGCAAAGCUUUGGUGGUGGAGUAGACUUCAAGAAGAUGCUGAAGCGAACCGACCAACUAUCGAAACGUGGGAAUCACUGAAGCGAGAGUUAAAGGGUCAAUUCUUGCCGGGUAACGCGAGCUGGAUAGCAGGAGAAGGCUUGAAGAAGCUCAAACAUACCGGUUCAAUCAGGGAUAGAAGAUUAAAGGAGGUAAAGUAAUGUUUGCUUUAAGGAUCACAAUUGAAGAAGAAAUGUUGGAGCACGUUCGGGAUGCCAAAACACCAAGGAAGCAUGGGACACUCUUGCUACACUUUUUCUAAAGAAGAAUGAUACAAGGAUGCAACUUCUUGAGAACGAGUUGCUAUCGAUAGCACAACGAGACAUGACGAUUGCUCAGUACUUUCACAAAGUGAAGUCAAUAUGCCACGAAAUUUCAGAGUUAGAUCCAAUAGCUGUUUUUGGGGAUGCGAGGAAAAGGAGAAUAAUUAUCCAUGGUUUAAGACCUGAAUACCGAGGGUUUGUUGCCAUUGUACAGGGAUGGCUGACACAACCAUCGCUUGUUCAAUUUGAAAAUUUGCUUGCAGGUCAAGAAGCUAUGGCCAAGAAAAUGGGAGGACUCGCAAUAAAGGAUGAAGAGGAAGCCCUCUACACCAACAAAAGUAAAGGUAGUUUCAAGGGCACACUGGUAAUGGAUCUACAAAAGAUGGUGAUAAAGUGAAAAGUCACCAAGGAAAAGAAGGCUCUCAUUCAGGGGAAGCUUUGAGGAAUAAUAAUAAUAGUAGAAAGUUCGAUGGCGAGUGUUUCUCUGCCACACUCAAUAAUACUUCAUCCGCAAGUGCCAAGUGUAGAUUAGAAAUGACGUUGCCAUCUAUCUCGUUCCACUUGUCAUCAGUUAUCUCCAUGAGCCUUUCUCUAAUUGCUACCAAGCAAUUAUUUUUCCUCAAUAUAGCUUUCAUCUUCAUUUUCCACAACGAAAAAUUAUUCUCGUUGAACUUCUCAAUUUCAUACUUUGCCGCCAUUUUGUUAAUGAAUACCGCACACUAGUUAGUGUACCACAUCGAAUAGUUGUGAGUAUGUGUGAAUAUGCACACCAGGAAAGUUUUCAGGAAAGACUGGAGGGGUCCCAAUGGUCCUACUUAAAACCCAAACUCCUUAGGCUCUUAUCGCUUUUGUGACAGAACGUUCCUAAACAUACACAAAACCACACAGUUACUUUACUCACACCAUUAUUCCUUACUUUGCACCGUAAAAUUCUUGGAUCACUCCCACCGUUUUCUCGUGAACAAUAUCAUAUACGUGAAUAGUAUUGUAUACAUGAAUAGAACCGUAUACGUGAACAGUACCCGACUCUAAAAAUACAACCAAUAGCUCGGAUACCACUGUUAAGAAAUUGAUGGAUGAAGCAGACACGUAGCUAAAAUAAAAUUAGAAGAAAAUAAAGAACAAGCACAAAAGAGGACACUAGAAAAUUACGUGGUUCGGCUUUUAGCAUACGUCUAUGAGCGGAGACAAAAGGAAAAUAUUUCACUAGUGAAAUAAGGAUUACAAGUAUUGUAAUACUUUGGCUCACUACCCAAAACCUCAAUACACCCAAUCUCUCACUCACUAAUUACACAAGAGUAUUAAAACUCUUAAAAUCUCACACAACUCUUUCUCUUUUACAAAACAGAGAAGAGAAACUUAAGAAAAUGAAAUGAAUAAAAUGAGGAGGGAGCCUCUCUAUUUAUAGCCAAAAUUGGCUAUUAAAUUUUUUUUUUUUUUGGGCGACAUCUUAUACCCCCAAUUGAAUCCUUACUAAAACACUCAAAUAGAAGCUCUCUCAAAUUUUGUAAAUUGCUUCAAUUGCAAUUUCUCUUAACACAAAAUGGGAUCCUAACAAUUGCAAAAUGGUUCUCUAUUUAUACAGAGCAUUUUGCACCAAUUUGGAUUCAAUUGGCCAAGUUGUGGCCUUUCAAAAGUCAAGUUUGGUGGCUAACUUUUGAACAAUUUGGUUCAGCUUUGGUGGCACCAAAAAUGUUAACAUAUAUAUGUCUAUAGUAUUGAUUUUAAAGAUAACAAACUUUAUAUGUUUUUUCUUUAAAAUGUUGGAGUUUUCAUUAAUAAACAAUUUCUUAAAAGUCGUAUAAUAUUUCUAAAUAUGUUAAUGAAAUAUGGAUAUUCGUUAACUUUAAUCAGGAAAUCAUUCCCUAAGAAAUUCUAUUAAAAUUGUGAUUCUAGAAUUAAAUGGCGAACUGUUAAUAUCAAAACAACUAACCGAUUAUUUCUAGAGAGGCAUAAAUCCUUGAUCUUGAACCGUUUAACAAAAACAGAUAAGACUAGUCCGUUUUGCAGGUUACUGGAAAUAACCGGCGAACCAUUAACUGCAAACGGCUAAUCGAUAAUUUCUAGAAUUGAAUUUUAUGCUAACCUUGAACCGUUUAACAAAAACGAACAAGCUCAUUUUGUUUUGCAGGUUACUAGAAAUAACCAGCGAACCGUUAACUGCAAACAACUAACUGAUAAUUUCCAAAAUAAAAUUUCAUGCUAACCUUGAAUAGUUUAGCAAAAAUGGAUAGCCAAAAUUUAUUUUGUAGGUCUCUAGAAAUUAACGGUGAACCGAUAGUGGCAAAAGGUUAACCGAUUCUUUAAAUUCAGCUCAACUGUCAUUUAGACUAGUCAAAACGGUUAACCGAUAACUAUUAACGACGAUCUAAUUUCUGGCAGAAAGUCAAUAACGGCUAUUUUUCAGCUCCAACUAUAAAUAAACUCAAUCAAAUUCAAACAAGGGUUGAUCACAAAGUUAUCAUUGAGCUUGUAAUUGAGAAUACAACAUUCAUUGAGCUUUAAAUUUGUUCUUGUUUCAUUUAUUCACACAUUGAGCAUUGAUUUGUAAUCAUAUAUAUUGUGUGAGAGAAAAACACAUUUGUAAUCUUUUUUUUGAGUGAUUGUAAGUGUUUGAAUGCACUUGAAUUAAGAGAUUAGGGAUAAUCUUUUGGUAUAAAGGUUAAUUGAUACCUGUGCAGUCAAUUGUAAGUGUUCUUGAAGCUUUGGAGGCUUGACUAGUGGAAUCCCCAAGCCCGGUGAGCUUGGAGGCGUGGACGUAGGCAAGGUUUAGUUUAACCACAUAAAAAUUUUUGUGUUUGAAUCUCUUUUCCCUUAUCUCUUUACAUUUUGGUUGAUUUAUUUAUUAUUGUUUUAAAUUCAUUCAAGAUUCGCAUUGAGUUUUGUUCAAGCAUUGCAUAAUUUUUUAGAAACUCAAUUCAACUCCCCCCCCCCCCCCCCCCCUGGGGUGGCCAAAAAGGAAUUUAAAAAAGGGUGGAACCUUUUAACACAAAAAAAUCUUAAGANNNNNNNNNNNNNNNNNNNNNNNNNNNNNNNNNNNNNNNNNNNNNNNNNNNNNNNNNNNNNNNNNNNNNNNNNNNNNNNNNNNNNNNNNNNNNNNNNNNNNNNNCAAAUACCUCCUUCGCGCUGCACGAAAAGCUCCUGCUCGCGCUGCCUGCUACGUGUGCUGGCUGUUGCACGCGAGUGUGAGGUAGCUGCUGCAUGCGCGCUUGCUGGCAGCAUGUGCUGCUGGUUGCCGUUGUCAAAAUUUCCGGCCUCCGUCGCUCCGAUCUGCUAUCCGUGAUUAAUUUACAAAUUUCCUAGGCCAAUUUUGGCUUACAAAAAUUCUAUAACAGUAAAAUAAAUCAAGAGGGAAACAUGGUGAUAAAAAAUCACCCCUCUUGUUACAGAUCCAAACGAAAAAUACAGUACAAAAUCUAACCAUGAAUUAAGACAAAUCAAAACAUGAUUUAUUCAUAUAUUAAACAAAUAAUAUAUAUCUGAAUAAAUUGUGCCACUCUAAUACAUAAAUUUCAAGAUUAAUUUCAUACAAAAUUCUUAUAUAUUAAUAUGAGGAGGCUCUGAUACCAAUUGUUGGGGAAAAAUCAGGUUUUUAAAUUUUUAUAAAACCUUUUUAAGAUCGCUCUCAUAUAAUAUAUAAGAAUUUGUAAUCGAGAAAUCGUACCUUGAAAAUCCAAUUUAGCUUUUUCUGCUGAAAUGAUUUAGGCUCCCAGAUCAUGAUCUGUCACCACUACUCCUGUUAGAUCACGAUCUGUCACCACCACGCUUGUUAGAACACGAACUGGUACCAAUGAUCUUCUAGGUUAUGACUUAGGUUUGAUCUACACUUGACGUGUGGGCGCCUUUAUCACUACCAAAGUAACUAGCACGAGAAAAUUUUUCUCUCAACAAUAGAGAGAAAAAUCUUUUUCUCUGAUCUGUAUAAAGUGGCUUCUUUCUUUUUUCUUUAGAGAAAAUAAGCCUUUUAUAUCUCCAUUUAGUGAAAACCUUAAGCUCCAAACAAUCCAAAAAUAAAACCCACGUUAUUUGUUUUUUCUAUAGGGGACCCAUCUUGUAAAAUAACAUAAGGCCCCUUACACACAAGCUAAUUAAAUGGAGCCUCCCACUAAAAGAUAUAUUUAGGCUUUUGACCCAAAUCGCUAGUUAUCUUACUUAUUAGUCCAGUAGUGGUGCAGUCAAUUAAAUGAGCUAACCCGGGGAUCAUUUGGGAACAUACAAUAGUGGCUAUAACAAUUAGGCUUGUAAUUAAACUAGCCUAAUUAUUUAAUUCCAAAUCUACUCCACUAAAAGAUUAGAAUUGACCUCCACAAUUGUAUGCUCGAAUAAUAAUUCGUCCCAAGCCACAUUGAUUUCUUUACGGCACAAUCCUUUGUACCACAUCGUUAAUAAAUUGAUAUUUCAACUAUCCAAUCAAUUUAAUAACAUCUUGUUCCUUGAUACUUACUGGUUUUCUCUAAUGAUCAUUUUCAACAUACUAAAUAUGUUGACACACUCUGACCAGAGAAUUCUAUGAUCAAGUGCCGAAAACCCAUCAAGAGAUGUAUUGUACAAAUUCUAUAUUGUUAAUCCAUAACUACAAUACUCAUAAUUCCUCCCACCAAGAUACCGGGUAAUCUUGACCACAAGAAUGUGCCGUGCCCAUUGGUAACUCAAAUGGAAUAACAAUUAUAAUCAUGAAAUCAUAACUAACUCAAGAUUAAGAUUACAGUGAAAUCAAUGCCUAUGAGAUUUAAUAAGUCUGACAGUCAUUUCAAGGUUAAUUAAAUCUCAUAUGUGAUCAUGUUCAAUGUAGUCGUAUUACAUCAAUAAAUUCAUACAUGAUUAAGACAAAUCAUUCAAUGAAUUCAUUACAGUCUAUACCUAAAUAAAGUGUCCAACUUUAUUUAUCAACUACGAACUAAAUUUAUUUAAUCAUAAGAUAACUUAUAUUUAUGUCUUCUGUGAAUCCACAUGGUGAUCACAUAAAUACAUAUAAUAUGAUUAAAUGGACUUUAAUUAAAAAUAUUAAUUCAAUUAAGAUAUUUGAAUAAAAUACCUCAUUAAUUUUAUUAAUCAAAAAAAAUAUUUAUUACAAUUAAAUAAACACAUAUGCUUUUAAAGAGCAUAUUUUCCCAACAAUAUAUACAUAAAUUAAACAUGUGUUGUUUGCUCCACUCUCUCUCACGCUUUAGCUGCAGCACAGCCAGUUACCCAAGCCCUAACUCGCAUCUGCUUUCUCCUUACCGCCGACCUACUGCUUCGUUUCUUUCCUUACUCUGUUGCUAGCUAGAUAGUGAGGUAAUGUGUAUGUUUUCGUUCGUGAGUAACUUGCUCUGUUUUUCUUCCUUUUUUUUUUUUGAAAUGGAUCUUUUUUUUUUUAAAUAACUCUUUAAUUUUCACUUAUUUCAUGUUUAUUUAAGUUAUUAAUAGCAUUUAGUUUUAUUAGUUUUGCCUAGUUAUGAGCAUGUUAUUGUAUUUUUCAAUUUUUUUCGUUUGGAAAUUAUGCUCUGGACAUUGCUGGGUGAAGUCUGCUGGCCACGAAAAGGUUGAAGAUGAUGGAGGGAAAAUAGCAUUUAGGUCCCUUCUUUUUUAAUAAUAUUUUAGUAUGACCUAAUAUUUAGAAAAUGUUGCAUAUAAGAAUUCUAUUAUGAUUUAGUUUGUUUGCUAACUUUGCAUAAUAUUCCUUGACCGAAGGUCAACUAGAUAAAAUAUCAUUUGAUUCCUUAAUAUUUUGCUAGUUUCUACUAUGGCAUAAAUACUUAUUUUAUUUUAUUUACAUUUUGGGCCUAAACUUUUGAUAUUAAACACAGUAACUAUAAUUUUGAAAACUCUUCAUUUUAAUCCAACAUUCUUGCUUUUUUUUUAAAUACAAAUUUGUAAAUUGUUUUUUUGGUUUGAUUAUACAUUGAUUUCAGUAGGCUUUUUGUGCAGGAUGGAAGUAAAUAGCAAUGUUGUAAAGGAGAUUAUGAAGGAUGAUUUUGAGGAGGAUGUUGAAAUAGAAAAUGAUUUGGAAAAUCGAACCGAAAACCGAACCGUUAAGAUGAACCGAAAAACCGAUUGCUUAAAUAAAACCGUUAAGAGAACUGAAACCAAUCCGAAACCAAAAACCGAAACUGACCUAUCUGUUUUGAUUCGGUUUUUUUGAAAAAAAAAAAUCGAACGGUUUUUUUAAAUUUUAGAUCCAAACCGAACUAAACCGAUGCCCACCUCUAUCGAGGAGGAUUUAAGACUUUUGUUGUAAAUUUUUACAUUUUUACCACGGUAAAUGUGGUAAUUGUAAAAUUAUAAAUUUUUAUCAUGUUAGGUAUGAUAAUUGUUAGUGGAAUGUGUUGGAUAUGCUUGAGUGGAUAAGUUAGGUUUAUGUUUUAUUAGUGAAAUUAUUAGUGGGACAAAUGUAAGGUUAAGAUGUAAUUAGAUUUUUUUAUUUGUGUGGUGAGGAUUUACCAUGUAUUAAUAUAAAUAGAGGGGGGUGAACACACCUCUCCACACAUUCUCUUCUUUUCUUUCCCCCCAAAUUCUUCUUCUCAUCUCUCUUUGUAAUUUAUUUUCAAUCAAUAAAAUUAGAUUUAUUUUAAUUUUCAAAUUCCAUUUUUAAUUAUGUGUUUUUCAAUUUUAGUAAUUUCCUUUAUUAAAAAUAGGUUUAGCUAAAUAUUAAUAGUUAGGGGAAGGUGAAACUCUUAGGAAAUAAAUAUGAUUUAAUCAAAUUUUAUUUUUAAUUUUAUAAAUUAAGUUAUUUUCUAUUUAAUUUUAUACAUAUUUUAUAUUAUGAAAUUUUGAUUUAUUGUAGACAAACAAGAGAGUUUGGCACAAUAAAUUCUUUUUAUCUUAAUAUAAGGUGUGGUAAAAUGGUAUUUUGACUUAUUGUAGACAAAUUAAAUUUUGACACAAUGAAUACUUAAUCCAUCAUAAAAUUAAAGGGAAAAUAAUAAUAAUUUAUAUAAUUAAUCUUUUGGGCAAUAAAUCUAAAAAAAAUGGCAAAAAGAAUUUAUUAAGUUUUAUUUACAACUAAGAGUGAAUCCACAACCCUAACUAAUUCAAUUUCAUAAUUUUAUUUAAAUUAAGUUAUUUAUAUUUAAGUUUUAUUUUCAAAUUUUAGAUAAAAUAAAAGAAACAAAUUAAAUCUUUUCUCUGUGGAUCGAUCCUGGACUCACCAAGAUAUAUUAUAACUAGACACUCUUAUACUUAAGAGUAAAUCAAACACUUUUAAGUCAUGUCAAUAAUGAACCCAAUUAAUAUUAGGGAAAUUAUCAAUUGUAUACCCUUAGUUUACUCCGUUAUCAAACUUACUACAACACUUUCAGGGUAUAUCAGUCGUUCACCCUAAGUUGACAAAAUGUAUCUGUCGUCCACCAAACCGUUAGUUGCCGUUUAAACAUGAUGACGUCAAAAGGGUAAUCUAGUCAUUUCAUAUGAUAUAAGUGAUAAUUUAAGAGUAUAUAAGUGAUAAUAAUAGACUUUAAGGAUAUACAAGUGAUAAUUUUCAAGGGUAAAAUCGUCAAUUCACCACAGUUCCGUUAAUUUUCAAACGACAGCUAACGGUUUAGUGGUCGGUAAAUAACUUUUGUUAAUUUAGGGUAGACGAUUGAUACACCCUUAAAAUGUUAAUUGCAUUUACCUGCCAUAUUCAGGCCUAACCUCAAUACCUUGGAAAAUAAUAGUGCCACGCUUAGAUAAGGGUUCUGGUUCGGACAGCCUACAAACUACUGUUCCUUCAUCUCCAUUUUCAAUAGAGAACUCACCCAUCUUAAUCUCUAUCCACCUAUUUCCUCGGUCUUGAGAUAGUUGAGGAUCAAGAAACUCUCUACGCUUUUUGCCAUUAUGGCUUCCAUCAAAAUAGACUUCAAAAUCUAUAGGACUAGUUUCAGGCCCUUCUCUGAAUUCCGCAAACUUGAACACAAAGUAAGCGGCAUAAUUGGUUUUGGGUGAAAAAAUUGUUGUACCAAAUCUUGCUUCGAUUUCUAAACUCGACAUAAGCUUAAGUUCAAUCACUUCAGGAAACCUAGAUCCAGCUGAUGAAGGAAUCAUUUCGCAAUCUCGGUGUGAAAUUCCCGAAUUUUCAUAAAUCCAUUUUGCACCAGCCAUGUAACAUUUUUUACCACUCUCUUGCUCUAGCCCAAAGCUCGCGGUAUUAUUGUCGAAGAGGAUGGGGUUGCGACAUAGAUGAAAAUAAAGAUCCUUCUUCUUCUUGUCGAUCAAAGAUGAGUUCGAAAUGAACCCUUCGUAAUCGGACGGCAAAAACUUCUCCCAUACGGAAUCUGAAUCCGCAGCCGAUCUGAAGGCGGGACAUACCAGUGCCAACCUACUUGCAUCGCGAGGUGUCGUAAGAGAAAUGAUGCGCGAAAUGCACUUUGCAGGUAGCUGCACAAAUGUAAGACAAUGUACUGAAUUUAUCUCAAAAUACAUUACAAAGAGCACUACAACAGUGUCCGAAAAUUAUACCCGACUGGACAAAAUCAAAAAUAAUUUUCAAGCAAAAUAUUUUUUUUUCUAUCCCAAACUUUGAUCCUAAAUGAUGUAGUAUUUGUUUGGAUAGUGAGAUAUUAUAACUAAUUUACUUGGGACCUAUAAGAUUUAUCAACUAUUUUGAUGAAUCAUACAUCACAUGCCCAAUUAUUUUUGGAUAAAAUUUUGGGAUAUUUAUUACUACUAACCAAUCUGAAAAUCAAAAAUAGAUUUAAUCAUAGUGGUAAAAAUUUGUAAAUGACAUGUAUCUAAUAUCAAUAAUAGAAAGAGCUCAAAUCCGUACAUCUUCGAGUUUUUUCUUUUGAUAAGUAAGAAUCGAACCACUCUUACCAAUCACCUCAGAACCUAGAAACCAAAAAGGAGAAUAAGAAAAAUGGGUUAAACAGAAAAGAAAGAAAAAAUUGAAAGAUCAAGAUAUAUGAAUUAAAGCAGUAAUAUUGUUCUUAUUCACUUUGGAUACUCAAUUGAGAUACUUAUUGAUAUAGCAUCUUAUAUAUCAUUUAUUGAGAAAUUUUAAAAGUAGUAGGUUAAUAAUUGAUAAUAAAAUUAAUUAAUACCAUAUACAUAAUAUUAAAUAAUUGGUGACACAUCAGUAGAUAUCCUAACUAAGUAUCCAAAUUAAGUGGAAGCGAAGACUUAGUUCAUAUAGUAAGAGCAUUGUCUUCUUAGGGCCAAGUACUAAGUUCGAGCCUUAGUAGGGGAAAUGAGGUGAAAUACAGUCAUCCUCACCCAAAAAAAAAAAAAAAAAGUUACCCUAACUAAGCACGGUAUUAUACAAACUCUUUCAAAAUCGAAGCUAGAUUUUUUUCCUACUUUUUGUUCCGUCAAGUAGCAUCACUCUGAAUUAAAUCAGCAUACAUAUUAGUUUGUGAUUUAAUUUUUCAUUCUUACAUAUAUGGAUAUUUUUAUUAUAUUUUCUAGUGAAGGUGCUGACAUUAUGUUUAACUAAGGAUUAAAAUAAAUUAAAAAAUAAACCUGCAUAGUGAGAAAACAUGAGAUUAGUUAUGAAAGAAAAAUAUAUAUAUUGACCUGGCAAAAUGUAUUCUUUUCGCUUAAGCCUUUGCCGUCCUGGCUUAGUUUUCUGGCCGUAAGAGCUCAUCUAAGAAGAAGAAAAUAGAAAAAAAAAAAAAGAUUAAAACAAAAAGACAAAAAGAUUAAAAAAAAAAAGACAGAUUUUGGAGUUAAUAUUUGUUUCUUUUCCAAUUUUAUUGAACUGGCAAAAUGAUUGUAUUUUUUUUUUUCGGUGUCUAAUCAGAAAUAAAAUAAUCGAAAAAAUUAAAUAAAUCCCAGUGCCGAAAAAGUGAAAAAUGACACGUAUGCAUAUAAUGUCGUAUGGAAAAGAGGUCACGUCCCUACAUUGUUGGUCCCAGAAUCCACAGGAACCGAAUCUUGAACAUCGUCAACAAUCACCUCAGAGCCUAGAAACCGAAAAGGAGACUGCAUGAGUAAAAGCAGAAGGACCAAGACAAAUUUUGGUUGAUUACAGCCUUCGUGCACGUCUCCAUUCACAAACAGCUAACUCAGAAUUUAAUUAUUAAUUACUUUAAUUAGAAGUUGAAAUCAUUAAUGGUAUUUUUUUAAAUGGUUUUUAAUUAAUAUUCUUUAACUGACUGCAUGAGUUUAAAUUUUAAAAGAAGUAUAGACUAAAAAUAAAUUUUAUCUUUAUCCACCCUUACCUUUUAAAAAUAAUAAUAAUAACAAAAGAAUCAGUAAAGGUAGUUGGGUCUCUUUCUAAACUCACUAAAAUUCUCAGUCACUUUUUUUCACUCAAAGUAGCAUUUGUCAUCAUAAUCCAUUAAAUAAAUAUACAUAAGAGUUUGUGAUUUUUUUAUCACUAUUAAAAAACACUUAGCUACUACUUAAUUAAGUCUGCAUUAAAGUAAAAUGAUGGCAGAACUCUAUAUACACACACAUACAUACACACACAAAAUAAUAAAUUCAAAUAUUAGACCAUAAUAAAAUGAAACUAAUAAUGGGAAAAGAUAUGAUUAAUUAGAAAAGGGAAAACAAAAAAGAAAGGAAAUAAUAAAAGGAAAAAAAACGAAUUGACCUGGCCAAAUGUUUCCGUUUCGCUGAAGCCUUUGUCGUCGUGGCCUAAUUUCUUGGUUGAUAGAGCUUGUCUAAGAACAAAAGAGUUUAAAAGAAUAAAAAAAAUGACAUGAGCUUGGAGCUAAUCAGAUCCUUUUGCAAUUGAUGUAAGAUAUAUUACAAUGUAACCUAGCAUAUUUAACUAUCAAAAUUAUAUUUUUUAGGACCUAAUAGGAGAAAUGGAUAGUUAUAUCCAAGUUUUUGGAAAUAAACAUGUAGAUGCUCAUGUUUUUAGAAAAGAACACUAAGUUAUUUUUUUACCAUAAUACUCUUUGAAUAUAGUUGACGAAUAAUAUUAAAAUAUUUGUAGUAUCUAAAAUAAUUUUGAAUAUAUAAAAGUAUUAUAUUUAUUGAAUAAUAUAUUUGUAUUUAUUACAGAUAUUUUAUAUAAAUCUUUGGAUUAAAUAUAUUUUACAAUUAGUAAAAUAUCUUACUUACUAAUGGUGCUUAAAUUAUUAGGGACAUUUUUCUACCAAAAGUUUUCUGGCAUACCAAGUCAGCAUUAAGGAUUCGUGAAAACUGCAUUUUACCACUUAAUAUUUAUGCGGUUAUUACUGUACCACUAUUUCAUUAAAAAAUAAGUAAAUAUUUAACUGAAUAUAAGUUAAAAUUCAAUUUUGUCCCUAGAGUGUAAAAGACAAUCUUGUCCUUUGAAAAAAAAAAAAUAACAAACCCGAGUUGUGUUGUUUGGCUGCGUAGCUGUUUGAUGGUAUUUAUGGUCAUUAAGGCGGCGGUUCAUGGUGUUGAUUGCUGGGUUAUGAUGGCCAGUGUUUUCUAGUGGUGAUGAUCGAGGAAAAGAAGAUGGAUGGUUGCGGCAGCUGAGGCGGGUAGGGCUUUAAUGUGUUUCUGAUUUUAUUUUUUUUUCCCCCUUUUUUCUCUUCUUCUUCAUUUCUCCGGCUUCUCUGUUUCUUCUUCAUCUUUAAAUUUCUCUCAUUUUUCCUUUUCUUUUUCUUUCCCUCUUCGUUUAUUCUUCUUUUUUUUUCCAUAACUUUUUCCCCCUUUUUCUCUUCUUCUUCGUUUCUUCUGCUUUUCCAUUUCUCCUUCAUCUUCAGAUUCUCAACUAAGAACUCCCUUCUUCAAAUUCUCAGAGCAUUUGCCUUUCUUCCUCUCUUCACUCUCAAUUUCUUCAAAUUGCCAUUUAAUUUUCAUUUCGGGUUAGGAUUUUUUUAAUUUUUUUAUUAUUUAGCAGUUUAUUUCAUAAUUGAGAACGAUGCAUAUUGGUUUUAAUGAAAAAUUCCUUAAACCCUUAUGACAUCAGCAAAUUUUUAACUAUAUUAACAUUUUGGUGGUUAAAGGAUAAUAGCCUAAACAUUAGGUAGUAAAAUGCAACUUUUAAGAAAUCUUGAUACUUACGUGAUAUAUUAGAAAACUUCCAAUGGAAAAAUUAAAAUAUCCCAAUUAUUAUUUUACAUAAUAUUUAAAAUAAUUUAGAUUUUAAUAUAUUUGUUUAAACAUUAUGUUUCUAUUUAGUAUAAAAUUAAAGUUAUUUUAAAAUGUAUUUAUUAUUACAUUUAUUUUAAAAUUAUAUUUUUAUUUAGUCAAUAUUUUUUGAGUUAAUAAAAAAAAUAUUAUGAUAUAAAAAAAUAUCUUGGGAUUAGAAAAUUUGGGGUCUAUUUAAUUAUUUCUCCGACCUUAGGGAUGUAAGUGUUCUUUUUCCUACCUAAUAAUUUAAAAUAAAAAUAAAUUUAAUCCUGGAUCUACCUCGUCGCCAAUCACUUCAAAGCCUUCACUAAUUGAAUUAGCAACUAUUUCCUAUAAUAAUAAAAUAACACAUAUAAGACAGUAAUGAAUUUUGUUUUGGAUUGAUGUUUGCAAAUAAUUUUGAACUGACCUUAUUGUCAUCAACAAUUUCUUUUGCUUUAUCCUUGACCUUGGAUCCUGGGUAUGGAUUGUUUCCGCGAAUCUGGUAUAUUAUUAGAAAAAAUAAAUUUAUAUUAUGAAUUAUAAAGAGAAUUUUUUCUUUUUCUAGGAGAAUUUAUAUUUUGAAUUAUGAAGAGCACAAAUCCCUACAUCUUGAAGUUUUUUCUUAGUUUCCGUACGAAUCGAAACAUGACAACCGUCACCAAUUACCUCUUCAGAACCUAGAAACCAAAAAGGAGAAAAAAGGAUAAAUUAAACAUAAAAGAAUGAAAAUAUAGGAGGACAAAUGUAAAAGGGUAAAUAUUUGUUUAUAAAAAAAAUGUGAAAAAAGAAGAACAAAAAAUAAAUUUUUUUAUUUUAUAAAAAAAUGCGAAAUAAAAAAGACUAUCUCCAGACUUAGUCUCCUAUUCGAAAAUUAAAAAAAAAUGCGAAACUCCAAUGUACUGAAAUAUAAAAAAAUAAAAUUUUCAAUACAUUGGAGUUCUUUUUCUAUUUAUAAGAGUAUUUUUAUUUUAAUAAAAAGAAAGAAAUAAUAUAUAUAUAUAUAUAUAUAUAUAUAUAUAUAUAUAUAUAAUGUUGUCAGGUUUGAGAACAUCCAGAUUUUACAAAAUUCGAAUUUAGAAUAAAAAUAUUGUGAUUAACGGGAAAAGGAAAAAAGGGAAAACAAAGAACACAAAAUAUGUAUCUUGACCUGGCCAAAUUUUUUCCUUUCGUUGAAGCCUUUGUCGUCCUAGAUUAGUUUUCUGGUUAUAAGACAGUGUCUUAGAAGAAGAAAAGAGAGAGAGAGAGAGAAAAAAAAAAUUGAUAGACUUUUGAGUCAACAUUUGUUCCUUACCUCACCGAUCACCUCAUAACCUAUAAACCAAAAAGGAGAGUGAGAAAAACUGAUUAAACAAAAAGGAUAUAAAAAAUAGAAAGACCAAGACAUGUUUGGUUAAUUACUGUCUUCAUAAGUAUCGGAUCUUAAAUAGUUAAUUUAGAAUUUUCUCGCUAGUGAGUUGAAUUCAAAGUUUUCAAGCUAAGUCAGAUAUAUAUUUUAGUCUGCUUAUAAACUCUUUCGAAAUAUUCGUCAGAGAAAAACUCUAAAAAUUAAGAUUGGUGCUACUGGCACCCCUAAAAAUUUUCUGAAAAACCCUAUUUCUGAGUACACCCCACAAAUUAAUUUAUUAUAAAUUAAUUUUACAAGUUUAAAUUAAUUAUUUUUUUUAGCCCGCCAACCUCCUCAAAAUUUAAGUUCUGGUGAUCAAUUAAAAAAACUACUUGGUGAAACCCUUGGAGGGUUGGGGCAAUUUUUUUAACAAAAAGAAAUAAAAUUUCUUUAUUAAAAGCUCAACCGAGUAAAUAAGCUGUUGGCCAUCACUAAAGAAAAAGAAAAACUAUAAAAUAAAUAAUAAAAUAAUGAAUACAACUUAAUCAACUAAAACAACGAGAAAAAGAAAGCAUUAAUUGUGAAAAAAGAAGCAAAAAAAAAAAAUUAUUUGACCUGGCCAUAUUUGUCCAUUUCGCUGAAGCCUUUGUCUUCUUGGCCUAGUGUUCUGAUUGUAAGAGUUUAUCUAAUAAGACAAAAUUUAUAGGGAAUAAUUCUCUUAAAUUAUAAGGACCAAAUUAGCGUUUGCCUGAAAUUAUAUGAGGUAAAAGCAAGGAGGUAAUAAAAGUGAAAAAAUAGAAUCACCUACGAGUGGAGGUGAUUGUUGGAACGGUUCUUCAAUUUCUUUCGAUUCUUCUCGUAUUUGAUUCAUGAUUUGCUUAAUUAAUUUCUCCAUUCUUUACUUCCUCGGCCAAUUCAUCAAUCUUCAGCCUCAAAUCUUCUGUUUCCUACGUGAAUUAAUUAAAUGACAUCCAUAAAUUAUAGUAUAUAUAUAAUCAAUGGAUUGGAAUUUUGUACUCACCUUGUUCUCAAUUGAAGUUACAGUGCCUUCUGCCUCAUCACGGGCAUGAGAAUUAUAAAUUUAUAAUGAAUAUCAAAGCGCAAGAAUAAUGAAGAAGGCUUCUGAGAAUGAACGCGUUCGCUAUCCGUAGUUUGAUUUGUCGUUUGAUAAUGAAAAUGGUCAGCUGGAGUGAUCAAAUAAAUUUAUUGUGAAGAAUUUUCAUUAUUCAAUUUUUUUUUUUCCAAAAGAAAGAGAAAAUCGUUGACCCAAGAAAUCAGGUAGAAUAGCCGCGCGGGGAUGAGGAUAAGAAUCUUGUGAUGACACAUAAUGUACAACAACAUUAGUAGUUGUCAAUUCACAUGAGCAAUGUUAUUAGUUAAAAGGGUGGUGAUAUUUCCACCCCAUAAAUUUUGUAAACCCACCUUAAUUUUAAAAAUUAUUACAACAAGUACACAAUAUUCUUUAAAAAUUCAAAUUAAGAAGAAAUUUAAAAAUUUAACCAAUUAAAUCCAUAUUCAUUAAUUUUUUUAUGAGACUAUUUGAUCAAUAAAGUUGUUUUAACAUAAAUUAAUAUAAUUAUUCUAACCUCAUAAGGCAAAAGUACCAAAAAUAUCUAAAAAUUUACUUUACUUUAAUAAAUUUUUAUAAAAAAUUAUAUUUUAAGGAUGUAUGAGUAGUACUUUUUUAGUAUAAUUAUUAAUAUUCCACUAUUAAUAUACUUUUUUAGUAUAUUAUUAAUAUUAAUAUUAUUAGUAUAACGAGAUGUAAUUAGGACAUCUGGAUUAUUGAAAAUUAUGAAAUUUUAUAUAAAAUAUAAAACUAAGUGCCUAAACAAUUAGUUACAAUAAUAUAUAUUUCUUAGGGUGAUUUGGUUAUUUUAGAUUAUAAGGGUAAAUUAGUUAAAUUAAACUUAUCUUAAAGUAACCUUAAAUUGUUAAAGAUUGUUAAAAUACAAAGUAAGAAAAAAUAUAUUAUAAGAAUGAUUUAAUUAAUUAAUUAUUCAAACUUAUUAUUAAUUUGUAAUUCUAUAAAUUAGGGUGAACUUAUUUUAAUUAUUUUAUGAACAUGGGCUGGUUUAUAAAAAUAGUGGGUUGAAAAUAUCCACGCCCUAUUUUAAAUUGGACAAAUGAUAGCUAUGCCCCCAAGGUUUAUGAAAAUAGUCAUAAAAAUUCUCAAGUUUCUACUAAGAGAUACCAAAAUCUUCUUUAAGCUAUAAUACCUUUCGUUGUAUUAAAUUAAUUCCAAUGUUUUAUGAAAAUAGAGAUAUAAUAUUAAAAUAAAUGUAAUAAUAUGUACAUUUUAAAAUAAUUUUAAUAAUAAAAACUACUUUAAUAUUUUAUAAACUACUAGACAUGUUUUAUUAUAUUAAAUUAAUUUUUUUAUAAAUGGAAACAUAAUACUAAAAUAAAUAUUAUAAAUAUUUAAAUUAUUUUGUAUAUUAAAUAAAAUAUUUUUUACAAUGGUAAGUGAGAUAUAUUUUAUUAAUUGUAAAAUAUAUUUUACAAAUAUUUAUUUGGAAUAUUUAUAAUAGAUGCAAAUAUAUUAUUGAAAUAAAUAUAAUAAUUUAUAUUUUAAAAUUAUUUUAAAUAGUAAAAAUAUUUUAGUAUCAUUAAUCUACUAGAAAUAGAGAUCGCAAUAGGGAGAAGAUCGACAUCCCUAUACCCAUCUUCGAUGCUCUAUUUAUAUUCCCGUAUGAUUUAAAAUUAACUAAAAGGAGGAGAUAGGGAUCCCUAAAGGUAUCGAAUCACCAAAUAACUAAUUACUUUAUUUUUUUAACUUAAUUUAAUCAUAUUAAUGUAAGAGUAUAUAAUCGUCUUACCAAUGUAAAAACAUCAAGAUAAACUAAAACAAUUAAAAUCAUUUCAUAUAAGUAAAUAAAAGCACCAGGUCGGUCAUGCUACUAUUUCCACCCCGGCAUGAAUCACCUCAGCCAAAUGGUACGAGCAGAGCAGGAGCAACAUGAGCCGAGCCGAGACGAAUGCUGACCAAAGGUAUAUACCGAGCCGGUACCCGUACCCCAAAAAGCGGAAACACGAUCUCACAGAAUCGCGGCAGUUGCGCUUUCCCAGAACCGUUGCAGGAGAUGCGAGAUCCCACGUUUGCCCAUGAUGCAGCAGUUAGAGUCCCAUGAGGGGCUGCCACUAUCCGAAAAAGGUGGGACGAAGGGCAAACGGGAACGUGGGGACAGCGGCUAUAAAAGAAGAAGAAAUCGACGAAGAAGGGGACAGAAAAACUGGAAAGAGGGAAAACGCUGCCAAAUUGCAACCAGGCCAUUUCCUUACAAAUUUCUAACAAACAUCUUAAAUCCAAAUUACACUGUUUUCCCGUAAACACCUUGUGCUAACUUAGGCAUCGGAGGGUUUACGCCGGCAAAACCACCGGCGUCUCUGAUCCGUUUUCGGUGAACGCAGGUCUAGUGAGAGAAAGGAGGGUGAUUCCAGCCUUAGCGGUUCGUGCAGCAGUCGAUAACUUAAACGUUGGUGAAAGAAUCUGGUCGGUCUAAGGACGAGCAGAUUUCGGCAUCAACAUUUUGGCGCUGUCUGUGGGGAGCUGAAUAAAAAGCUACCACCAAAUUAGCAGUUACCGGAGAAGCAACGAACGAUCAGAUAUGGAUGUGUCAAGAAAGGAUACUUUGAGGGAGGACAAUGAAACGGUGGAGACAAUCACUCUCCGGGAAAUUGCGAAUGAAGCCCGAGAGAGGAUGAUGCAAGACAGACUGGAGCGGAUGGAGAAACAAAUGGAGACUCUCGCGUCCAUAUUGUUUGAGUUGAGGGAUGAACGGAGAAGGGAUUGUGAAACCCCCAUGGGAAGAGAUGAAGUCGGAGCAGAACCAAGCCUCCGGAGGCGUCGAGUUGAGGAAAUCCCUCCGCCCGCAGGCCAACUUAAUGGGGUGCAUCCCCACAAAAGUACUGGUCGGAUCCCAGGGGAACACGUGGAUGAAGGGGGAGACCAACCUCGCCCCGGACGCAUACGGGAAACUAAUGGCCGAUGAGCAAAUGUUGAUGAAGGAGAGCUCAGACAAAGGUUGCAGAGCGCCGAGCAGGAGCAAGAUCAGAUAGCUGCACGGGAUCCUGACCGUGCUAUAGAAUUGGAGGGGGAGGUGCGCAGAUUGGCGCAGGUGAUAGAGGAGAUACAGGGCAAGAGAAAACCCCCGAGCUGGAGGAUAAUGCUAGAUGAAGAAUCUCUGUUAUCAAUUGAGAUCAUGGGUACCAUAAUCCCAAGAGACUUCCGCUUCCCCGACCUCAAAUACUUCAGGCGAAGUGACCCGCUGGUGCACAUUAAGCGUUUCAACGAUAUGACGGGUGUGCAGGGGCUGACACCAGCUCAGAGGUGCAGGGCGUUCCCGUUGACGCUAGAGGGACGAGCUCGAGAAUGGUACCGCAAGCUGCCCCGAGGAAGUAUAAAGGGGUAUGAGCAGAUGUGCCAGGAGUUGGCCGAGCAGUUCCGAGGGGCAGUAGCCCCAGAGGACGACAUGAUGGAACUGAUGGGGAUGAGACAAGAGGAGCAUGAAUCCCUUCGAGACUUUGUAAAACGAUAUCACCGAGCCGUGCUGGAUCUGGGAGCUUUUAAUCACCCGCAGGCGUUGAGGGGAUUAAAAGAAGGUGUAAGGAUCGGCCGACUGUGGUAUAACUUAAGAAGCCCCCUCGUACAGAAUUACUCGGCGGGGUAUGAGCAGGCGAGGCGAGAUAUAGAAAUCGAAGAGGAGAAAUCGGCAAGAAUUAAAAGUGAACAGCUGGAAGAGCUGAGGCGAAAGGACCGGCGAGCCCCGAAAGGGAGCGGGUCGGAAAAGCGAAUCGGAGAAUCUUCAAUGAUGGGCGGAAUAUCAGCUCGGUCCCGCCCUUACCCCAUAGCUCCGAGAGCACAACAGUUUCAACACAGCCGAGCUCAACCUCUGCGCCCCCCGAUCCCAGAGCGGCAGCGAGUACUCCGGCAGAUGGCUGCCCACCCCUAUCCCAACACUCCCAGAGCAUUACAUGCGAUAAAUUCCAGGGCUAGACGACCAGAUCAGUUAGCGACCGAGCCAGACCGAGGUGGCAUUCAUGAUAGCCGAGCAGUUUAGCUGGUAGACCAGAGCUUGGCAUAUAGACAGUACACUCCCUUAAAGAUCUCCAUGGAGGAAUUGUAUGAGAGGAUUGAAGGACGAGGCCUGCUGUACCCUCCAGCCCCAAUAACAAAACCGACUCACCGACGGGAUAAGAGCAGAUUCUGCAAGUUCCACGACACUCACGGUCACACUAUCAGCCAAUGUCGUGACCUGAAGAUUCAGGUGGAGGACUUAGUGAGGAACCGAUACUUGGACGAGUACGUAGAUGGAAUGUCCCCUGUCACGGAGUCGCAGUACACGCGGGAUGACGGAGUUGAGAGGGAUUUGGAACGUGAACAGCCGACCAUCCGUGUGAUAGCAGGAGGGCCAACAUUGGCCGGGGAUUCGAACAGAGCACGGAAGAACUAUGGGAGGUACGCCAUGACUAGCAAAGAAGUGCUUUUCAAUUUGCCAGCAACCAAGAAGGCAAAAGUGCGACAAGUUCCCAUUAUGUGGACAGAUGACGAUGAAGAGGGUAUCUUAUAUCCUCAUGAAGAUGCAUUGGUGAUUAAGGCAAUGGUGGCCGGUACAGAAUUGCGACGAAUAUUAGUAGACAUAGGCAACUCGGUUGACAUCCUGUUUAAGUCGGCUCUAGAUGAUAUGGGGAUUGCAGACUUGAAACUGGAACGGACAAAUACGUCCUUGAAGGGAUUUGGAGGGGGACGGCUAACUCCCAUGGGGAUCAUUGAACUCCCGAUUACUGUGGGGACAAAGCCAUUUGAAAGAACGAUGAUACUGGACUUUGUAGUGGUAGAGGAAAGAAGUCCUUACCAGAUGAUAUUGGGGAGACCAUUCAUGAGGAUAAGCCAAUGUGUGAUGUCCACGCAUUAUCUUUCGCUGAAAUACAGAAUAAGUGGAGUCGUGGGUGUAGUAAAGGGCGAUCAGAAAAUGGCCAGGAGCUGCUAUGCUACAACGGCCAAGGAAACACUGCAGGUUACCUCUCUAGAUAACCGAGGGGAUUCAAAAAAUGGUCGCCAGGAACCUAUUGAGAACCUGGAGGGGGUUGUUGUGAGCAGGAGUGACCCGAGCAGAGUGGUCAAAGUCGGAUCGGAAUUGGGUGAAGAAAUAAAAUGCGAGCUGGUGAAGUGUCUACAGUCCCAUGCGGACAUAUUUGCCUGGUCUCAUGAGGAUAUGCCAGAUAUUGAUCGAGGGGUAGCUUGUCACAAGCUGGCAGUCAAGAAAGGGGCAAGGCCGGUGAGGCAGAAAAGGAGGUGCUUCAACCAGGAAAGGUACGAGGCCAUUAAUGCGGAGGUGGAAAAGCUGCUAAAAGCAGGAUUUAUAAGGGAAGCCAAGUACCCGGAAUGGAUUUCCAAUGUAGUACUGGUAAAGAAGGCCAAUGGGAAGUGGAGAAUGUGUGUAAAUUUCACGGACCUCAAUAAGGCAUGUCCAAAGGACAGCUUUCCCCUACCAAAAAUAGAUCAGUUGGUAGACUCAACCGCGGGUCAUAGUCUGCUCAGUUUCAUGGAUGCCUUUUCCGGAUACAACCAGAUACCCAUGGACGAGCAGGAUGAGGAAAGCACCACCUUUAUAACUAACAUGGGUUUGUUCUGUUACAUGGUGAUGCCCUUUGGCCUAAAGAAUGCAGGAGCUACCUAUCAAAGGCUAGUGAACAAGGUCUUCAAGCCAUUGAUCGGCCACACUAUGGAAGUAUACGUGGACGAUAUGAUCACCAAGUCAAGAGAACCGACAGAUCAUGUGAAGCACUUGGAAGAGACCUUCGAAUUGCUGAGGAGGUAUGAAAUGAAGCUGAACCCGGAGAAAUGUGCAUUUGGGGUCAGCUCGGGCAAAUUUUUGGGAUACCUGGUGAGCCAUCGAGGGAUUGAGGCCAACCCGGAAAAGAUACGGGCGGUGAUAGAGAUGAGGUCCCCACGAACAAUUAAGGAGGUGCAGAGCCUUACGGGAAAUUGGCAGCAUUGAACCGAUUCAUUUCGCGAGCCACUGAUAAGUGCCACCCUUUCUUCCAAAUCAUAAAGAAAUUGAGGAAGAUGGAAUGGACAUUGGAAUGUGAGGAGGCAUUUGGACAGCUGAAGGAAUACCUAGCCCGCGCCCCGUUACUAUCAACUCCGAGAGAGGGUGACCAGCUGCUUUUAUACUUAGCAAUCUCUAAGUGGGCUACCAGCUCGGUCUUAGUCAGGGAAGAAGAAGGGAAGCAACACCCGGUAUACUACACAAGCAAGGCCCUGGUAGACGCAGAAACCAGAUAUCCAUUAAUGGAGAAGUGGGCGCUGGCUCUGAUAACCGCAGCACGCAAACUCCGACCAUAUUUCCAAGCCCACCAGAUCAUUGUGAUGACUGACCAGCCCCUUCGGCAGGUGCUUCAAAAACCAGAUGCGUCUGGUCGGUUAGUAAAAUGGUCCGUGGAGCUGAGCGAAUUCGACUUAUCAUACAGGCCCCGAGGAGCAAUCAAGGCCCAAGCCCUGGCUGAUUUUAUGGUUGAUCGUGCUGGACCAAGGGAAGAGGUCCAAGAAGAGCAACCAGCAGGACAGGAGGAUCCAAAGAGGGUAUGGCUGGUGAUGGUUGAUGGGUCACGUAGUGAACAGGGAUCCGGAGCAGGAGUUAUAAUACGAAGCCCAGAAGGUGUCGAGGUGUCUUAUACAGUAAAGUUCGAGUUCCAGCUUACGAAUAACCAAGCUGAAUAUGAGGCCUUCAUUUCUGGACUCGGUUUGGCACAUGCAUUACGAGCAGAAAGGGUUGAAAUCCGAGUAGAUUCCCAGCUAAUAUGUAACCAGCUCAACGACCAAUUCCAAGUAAGGGAAGAGAAGUUGGAACUUUAUUUGAAGAAGGCGAAGCAUAUGGUUAGGCUUUUCCAGGAGGUGGAGGUAAAGCAGAUAUCUCGAAAUGAGAAUUACCGAGCGGACAUGUUAGCUAGGAUGGCUGCAAUUGCAAAUCCGAAAUUACCUAAAUCGGUUCCACUGGAGGUAAGGACCUCGCCAAGUAUAGGGGAGGAGGCAGAGGUGAUGAGAAUAAGCACUGAAGAGUCCUAGAUAGACCCAAUUCUUGCAUAUAUCCGCGAUGGCGUUUUACCAGAGGACAAAAGGCAAGCAAGAAAGCUGAAAUGCCGAGCAGCGAGGUAUACUCUACUCGAUGAGGUACUCUACCACCGAGGAUUCACUUUGCCCCUCUUGCGAUGUGUGAAUGAUGAGGAGGCAGAUUAUGUACUAAGGGAGAUUCAUGAAGGAAUUUGCGGCAAUCAUUCGGGAGCAAGAACCUUAGCCUUCAAGGCACUCCGACAAGGGUACUUCUGGCCAACCAUGCACCAGGAUGCGAAAAAGAUGGCAAAGAAUUGCAAAACCUGCCAAAGCUUCUCAGAGGUUCCCGCACAACCCCCAGAAAAGCUGACCACUAUGACAUCCCCAUGGCCUUUUGCUCAGUGGGGAAUCGACCUGAUUGGUCCGUUACCGAAAGGCCGAGGAGCGGCAACCCAUGCAAUCGUAGCAAUAGACUACUUCACCAAGUGGAUAGAAGUGGGGGUCCUUAGCCAAAUCACGGAGAGAAGGACAACGGAUUUUAUCUGGAAGAACAUCAUCUGUAGAUACGGAAUCUCGUAUACCAUUAUCACCGAUAAUAGGAGGCAAUUUGACAACAACAACUUCAGAGAGUUUUGCCGGAACUUAGGGGUGGACCUGAAAUUCUGCACCCCCGCACACCCCCAGGCAAACGGACAAGUGGAAGCAGCCAACAAAGUGGUAAAGAAACUCCUAAAGACUAGAUUGGGAGAGAAGAAAGGAGCUUGGGUUGACGAGCUACCAGGGGUACUGUGGGCCUACCGGACAACUCACAAAACUGCCACAGGGGAGACCCCGUUUGCCUUAGCUUUUGGUCACGAGGCGGUAGUCCCAGCAGAAAUUGGAGUGGGAACACAUCGGACGGAAUACUUCAAUGAGGAGUAAAAUGACGAGCAGAUCUGCUUGAGCCUGGGCCUGCUGGAGGAGAAAAGGAAAGGGGCUUCGCAGAAAGUGGCUCAGUAUCAGCAAAGGGUCACGCGUUAUUACAACAAGAACGUACGUGUGAGGCAGUUCCGAACAAGAGAUUGGGUGCUCAGGAAGGUGAACCAAAAUACCAAGGAUCCUAACCAUGGAGCUCUUGGUCCGAAAUGGGAAGGCCCGUACAGGGUGAUACGAGCAACUGGUCCGGGAGCCUACAAGCUGGCGUAUCCAGACGGACGAGAGGUGAAGAGGUCAUAGAACGCCGAGCACCUGAAAAAGUACUUCCAGUAAGCAAAGUGCCCUACUAGUUUUCAUUCUGAUAAGUUAUUUCUGUUAUGAACACAGUGAUUUAUGACACACACAUAUGUCCUACAUUUCUGUAACGCAUUCAAAAUUCAAUAAAGAUGAAUUCAGUAUGGAACCUUUCUGCUAGCAAGCACAUUAAAUGCUUACUAAGGCAACAGAGUGCCUGUUUCUGCUCGGUCAACGAAAGACCAGCAGCUAAAGCUUCGUAAAUUCUACUAAGGCAACAUAGUGCCUGUUUCUGCUCGGUCAACGAAAGACCAGUAGGUAAAGCUUCGAAAAUUCUACUAAGGCAACAGCUUGCCUAUUUCUGCUCGGUCAACGAAAGACCAGCAGCUAAAGCUUCGAAUAUUAUACUAAGGCGAGUAAAUGCUUACUCCUACUCGGUCACCGAAGACCAGCAGGCAAUUUUGCGAAAAUUUUACUAAGGUAAACGAAUGUCUAUUCCUGUUCGAUGCACUAAAAAACCAAACAGGAAAACCAAUAGAGAGCAUUCAAAAAAUUUUUUUAUAAAUGUUUAAAUUGUUUACAAAACAAACGCAAAUCUAGAGCUUAUACAAAAAAUAGGCCUAAAGGUUAGGAGAAUCAACGGCUCCAGCAGCUGAAGGAUCAGCGAGCUUGGGAAGUGAGGGAUCAGCAACAUCAGGAGGUGGAAGAUCAGCAAUGCCGAGAGGAGGAGGCAUGGACCCUUGACCCACUUCGAGAGUGCAUCCCCCAGCUUCCCCCUCUUGCACACCAUUCGAAGGAGCCUCCACCUGAUCCUGCCCGCCCUGCUCCUUAUCACCCUGGUCGACCUCAGCCAUGUACCUCUCCACUCCAGCCUCCAGCUUGCUCAUGUCCAGCUCGGGAUAUUCUUCCUUAAGCACAGACAUUAUGCACUUAUAGGAGAAGGCAACCCCAGAGUCAUACUCGGCAUCCAGCCGAUCAUCCACGUCAGCGGAUUUGCCUUUCUCCUAGCCAGCUACUCACCCAAGGAUUUGAUUUCCCCCUCAAGGGCGGCCCUCAGAGUAUCCCUUUCAAUUUGAGUAGCAUGGAGAUCAGACCUCAGGUCACCCAGCUCACCCUCGAGUUUGGAGGAAGUGGAUUCAGCAACCGCAACUCUCUCCUCUAGCUCCAUAAUUUGCUUGUUCAGCUCAGCCAGCUUCUCCUUGGAGCGAUUAGCAGAUUCAGCUUUCUUCUUCAAUUCCUGAUUGUCAGCUUGGAGUUUCUUCUUAUGGCGCGCGGACCCAAUCUUGUAGCACGAAACCAUGGUGGCCAACCUGAAGAACACUCUGUGAACGGUAGCAGCUAAUUCAGAGAGGUUCAUACUCUCGAUGUCCUUCACCAUCUUGGGCCCCACCACUUUUUUGUAAUCCUUCUGAUACGGGCUCAGGUAGUCCACUUGAUCCCGAGAUAGUAGAGGAGAAGAGCGGUCCCCAAACUGCAAGCUGACCUCAGGACUCUUGUCGGAGAUUUUCUCCCCAACACUCUUACGAGGUGGAGGUGGGGGCAGAGCAGGAACAGGCGUCUUGGAAGGACCAACGCUAGGUUUCUUCGGGGGAGGAGGAGGGUUGCUGGAGCUGCUCGAAGCCCGACCACGCUUUCUGGUCAUAGCACUGAGAAUCUUGCUAUCCAUCCCGGCGGCUAUAUCCACUAAGCCCGAGCCGACCAAACUUGUUGGUGACAGGAGGUCUUGGCAGGUAGACGCGUUCAAUAGAGCCAUUUCCACCUGAAGCAAAGGCCGAUCUUCAAGCCCCCCGAUCAGACCCCACGACUCUGAAAUAGCACAAAAGGUUAAAGAACCCAAUAAGUAGCAGUCUAAUUAAGAAUAUAGGCAAAAAUGAACGACCUGGGGUGACAAAAUGGGUGGGAAGAUAAAUGUCCCCACCAAGCGACCGAACUGCUGGACACCAGUUCCCUCCAGCAAAGAAGAAUUUGUUCUUCCAAUUUUUACAUGAAGAUAGAAACCCAGUGAUCGGUUUCCUCUUGGCAGAACUGGACAUAAAAUAAUACCAGCCUGCCUCCUUUGGGCUACUCCGCAGCUGAUACAGAUGUUUCACUUCGACAAGAGAAGGCUCCUCCGACCCACACCUCUCCCACAACACAAACAUCGCCGAGAGAACCCUCCACCCAUUUGGGUGUAGCUGACCUGGGGCUAGGUGCAUACCGCCCAGUAUCUUGGCAAAGUAAGGUUGAAGGGGCAGCCGAGCUCCUAGUCUGAAACUCUCCAAGUGCAUCGUCACAUACCCUUUCGGAGGCCGACUAGGGACAUCGCCUUUUCCAGGAACUACAAGAAGAACCUCGCUGGGGAUGUUGUAGAGGUUCCUAAGUUUAAAUAGGUCAGUGGGGGUGGUGGCACAAGCCAUGAAAUCAAUAGGGUAGGAAUCAGCCUCCACCCUAUAGCCUAGGUUCUUUCUCUGAGCAGAUCGGAUCGGUCCGGAACUGCUCCCCUCACCAUCGCCAACUCCUUCAGAGAUCCCAAUCCCACCAAAGCUGUGGUUCUCACCAGAGCCCGACGCGGGUCCACCUCUAUUUUUUACAAGCGCUAGUUCGGGGGAGGAAGAGACAACCAGAGGGCGUGGAUACUCAAGGGUAUCCCUGCCAUCGGAAGGACCUACACUACUGGAGGGACCCAAGAAAUCGGUGGGUAUUGGCACGUUGAGGCAUGAAUCCCCUGAUUCUUCAUCACCCUCAUCAACAAUUAACUUUCUUUUCCGGUUUGACAUAUCGGAAUCUCAAAAGAAAAACCAAAACAAACCCAAGUACACGAAUACAAAAAGGGGCAACACAGAACCCAAUCAACAACAGCCAAAGAAAAGGUUAAAGGCUAUACCUGGAACAGACGGACAUAGAUAGCGCUGCCGUGACAGAGAAAACACCCAGCAAAUGGAUACUCCGGACGCUGGGAGUAUGAGCAAAGUUCAGAGAAAAUUUGGUUAACGGCGGAGGAACGAGUAACAAGAUGAUGAUGACUCCAGUCUAGGGAUUUGAAACGAAAAGGGGGAAAUGAAAGCAUUAAAGUGAUGGAGACGCACCGUACAUCGAGGACAGAUAGCCCGUCAUUUCAAAUUUCAAAAUAUGAAGAGUCUGCGGAUGCCACGUCACCAACUGUUACAAGAGGCCAGGCUAGAUGCAAGCCCAGAUACGCAAUGGACAUGCUCAUUUAGGCCCAUGCUCAGGUCAAAACCUCCCCUCAAGAAAAGAAAUCCUCAGGUCCGUCCCUGUAAAUAGAAAACCAGAGGAGAAGCCCCCGGAUUGGCAAGAUUUGACAAUCAGUUUCUACUCUUGACUCAUUUCACUCACAAGACCAGAAACUGGGGGACUGGUGUUAAGUAAAUAAAAGCACCAGGUCGGUCAUGCUACUAUUUCCACCCCGGCAUGAAUCACCUCAGCCAAAUGGUAUGAGCAGAGCAGGGGCAACAUGAGCCGAGCCGAGACGAAUGCUGACCAGAGGUAUAUACCGAGCCGGUACCCGUACCCCAAAAAGUGGAAACACGAUCUCACAGAAUCGCGGCAGUUGCGCUUUCCCAGAACCGUUGCAGGAGAUGCGAGAUCCCACGUUUGCCCAUGAUGCAGCAGUUAGAGUCCCAUGAGGGGCUGCCACUACCCGAAAAAGGUGGGACGAAGGGCAAACGGGAACGUGGGGACAGCGGCUAUAAAAGAAGAAGAAAUCGACGAAGAAGGGGACAGAAAAACUGGAAAGAGGGAAAACGCUGCCAAAUUGCAACCAGGCCAUUUCCUUACAAAUUUCUAACAAACAUCUUAAAUCCAAAUUACACUGUUUUCCCGUAAACACCUUGUGCUAACUUAGGCAUCGGAGGAUUUACGCCGGCAAAACCACCGGCGUCUCUGAUCCGUUUUCGAUGAACGCAGGUCUAGUGAGAGAAAGGAGGGUGAUUCCAGCCUUAGCGGUUCGUGCAGCAGUCGAUAACUUAAACGUUGGUGAAAGAAUCUGGUCGGUCUAAGGACGAGCAGAUUUCGGCAUCAACAAUCAAUAUCAUUAAAAUUACAAGAUAAUCUAUAAAAUGAAGCAAAAGUAGAGCUUUAUAGUUUAACAAAUUCAUAAAAAUCUCAUAGUAUAAGUCAUCAAAAAAAUUAUCAUUUUCAAUAUUCAAGCGUUUAUAUUAGCUAUUAUUACGAUAUCUUUCAUUUACAUCCAUUUUUAGAAGAAAUAAAAUAUAAAAAAUUAAAAAUUAAAAAUUAAAAAUUAGAAUGGGAAAAUGGGAGGGGAUUGAGAUUUCACCAAAUCCCUGUCCCCUGCCCAAAUAAGAUAUUUGGAAAUAAAUUAUUCAUGUCUCAUUCUCAAAUAAGAAAUUAGGUAUAAAAUUAUCCUUAUACCCUCCUUAAAUGAGAAAAAUCUCUUUGGACUCCGUUCUCGUGGGGAUUUCUAUCAUCCCUAACUAAACAGAUUAAAUUAUUUAUAUUUUAUUGCUUGUAUUUAUUGAAAUUUUAAAAUUAAUUUUUUUAAAUUACUAAUUCAAAGAGUUUUAUGGUCAAACGGAGGCUUUGAUAUCCCUUACUGAAAAUUUAAGAGCCUCAUCCUCAAAUAAGAAAUUAGGUAUCUCCUCAAAUGAGAAAAAUUUCUUCAAACCCCGUCCUCGUGGGGAUUUCUAUCAUCCCUAACUAAACAGAUUAAAUUAUUUAUAUUGUAUUGCUUGUAUUUAUUGAAAUUUUAAAUUUAAUUUUUUAAAAUUACUAAUUCAAAGAGUUUUAUGGUCAAAAGGAGGCUUGAUAUCCAUUACUGAAAAUUUAAGAGCCUCAUCCUCAAAUAAGAAACUAUGUAUCUCCUCAAAUGAGAAAAAUCUCUUCAAACCCCAUCCUCGUGGGGAUUUUUAUCAUCCCUAACUAAACAGACUAAAUUAUUUAUAUUUUAUUGCUCAUUUAUUAAAAUUUUAAAUUUAAUUUUUUAAAUUACUAAUUCAAAGGAUUUUAUGGUCGAAAGGAGGUUUGAUAUACCUUACUAAAAAUUUAAGAGUCUCUAUAACCAUUUUCUCAAACUUUAAGGGUCUAACUGUGCUUUUCCCUUUAAAUUUUUUUAAAUUCUUCUCAUCAACACUUUUUGUCAACGGACCACACCAACCAUGUAUUCGUCCGCGUUAAUUUAAUUUAAUUGAUGACAAACACAAAUUGUUGAAUAAAAAGUGAUUGAUCACGUCUAUUGAAAACAAUAACUAUUUUAGAAUCAUUAUAUCAAGAGGUAUUAAAGUCAAAAGAGAGUUUGAAAUAUCGUAUAAAAAAUUUAGGAUUAUGCGAUCAUUUUUUUAAAUCUUGAGAGUGCAACUGUACUUUUUCUUUUUAAAAUUUUAAAAAAAAAUUUCUCAUCAACGACUUUUUGUUAAUUAAAAAAAAAUAAUAUGCAAUAUUUUCAAUAGUCAACGAACAAUACCAACUACGUAUUUGUUCGAGUUAACUUGAGUUAUAUUAUCUGCUAUAGGCUAUAUAAAGACAGUUCUAUGUUUGGUGAAUCUUUAUAAUAAUUUUAUUUUGAACGAAUGUAGCCGUAAAUUAAAAUAUUUUAAAAUGACUUUAGAGAUCUGUCUAACUAACGUGACAAACGUAUAUUAAUUACAUUUUUCUUUUUUAUAUACUCCUCUCUGGAAUUGUGAAGAAGGGAGUCAGCAGGGCAACUAUGAGCUGCCUGAUUAAUUUUUUGUCGCUAAAGAGAAAGUAAUACUUUCUUUUCAAGAUUGGGAAAAAUGCCAUUUAUUCCCCCACUGUUUUUAAAUUUUACCAUUUAGUUCUUACUGUUAGCCUUUAAAGUUUUUAGAAAUAUGCGAUUGUGAGCUUGAUGUCUAAAUUAUCUAUUAAAAAACUCAUCAUAUGCACAAAUUAGCGAUCACUUAUUUUUAAUCGAUUUUUGUAAGUGUUACUGGCGAUGGUACAAGAGGCAUGGGCUCAAAUUUUCCUCACAUGGGUAUGGAUCGCAAAAAGAUCAUAAAUAUCUUUCCCAUUCAACAGCAUUACAAGCCAAAAUCAAGGCAUAUAUAUAUGUUGCAAGUAUCAUUGCUAUUAAUAUGACAUGUAUAUCUUUCAAGUAUCAUUGCUAAUUUGGUAUCAAAUAAUAGUAGAAAUCUUCUUCUCAAAAAAAUAAUAAUAAUAAUAGUAGAAAUCCUCAAUGAUAAUGAAUGAAUAUGUUCCUUUUAUGUAAUUUAUAGUCUUGCAUAAACUGGGCUUUUCAGCGCAUCAAUUGAAUAAGACUGUAUUUUACCUUUUUUACCCCGUAUAAUUCUCAAAAAAUUUCACCUUCGUGCACUGUCCUUCGAGUUGAAAAAAUGAUAAACUUUUGAAGCUAAGAUGACGGAAUAUUGUCUUAGAUGAGCUUAUGGGAUAAACAGUCCUUCCAGUUGGCAAGGGGUUGCCAUGACAAGCCCAGCCCAGCCUUGCACAACCCUAACAAAAUUUUAAAUUACAUUAAAAAACCUUCACAACUAGGUACGUCAUCCAGAAUUUUUUUUUUUUAAUAUAAAUUGUUCGACCACUGUACUUCUGAUUAGGUAUAUGAAUUGUUUGACCAUAAAAAAAAAAUUACUUAUUUAGCUCAUUUUCGAUCCUUUCAAACAUUUGACAGAUUUCUCUAUAUUCAAAAACCUCUUUAAAUUCAACAAUUUCAAUAUUCAAAAAAGCAUAAAAGAACUCAAAAUUCAAUCAAUCUUUAACUAUAUAUUAUUUCAGCAAUAAUCAAUAAGAUUCUAAGAAAUUUUAAAAAAGAAAAAUAGUCAAGAAAAUAUCCUUUUUACUUCCUUUAAAAUCAUUAUUUCAAGAAAAUAUUUUUUUCUUCAAAAGUUAGCCAAUAAAUGUUAUAAACUAAUAAAUUUCUUCAUAUCAAAUAAUAUCAAAUAUUUUUAAGUUUUUAAUAUCAAAUAAUUCAGUUUUUUUUUUCUUAAAUCGAAAGAUAAAUGAUUUAAUUUUUUCUUGAAAACUAAUGAUGAAUGAACUAAUGGCUAGAUAAUAUUAUUAAUUAUAGUUUUUAACAUUAUGACUAUUAAAUUUAUAAAGAGCUUGUAUAAAAAAAAAUUAAUUCUAGGGUAAUUAUUUAUUUGAGAGAAGUAAAAAAAUAGGUUUUUUUUAAUGAGAUUCUAAGCAAUUGCUUGAUUCUCUUACGCUUAAACUGCCAAUGAAUCUCAUAUUUGAAACGCAUUGUUGUUGGGGCAGGGAAAGUUAUACAAAAUAUAUAAAUGUUUGGGAUAGAGCUAAAAGAUAAAAUAUUAAAGUGUUUGAUAAACACUAGCUGCUGUAAAUUGGAAGGUAUGUUUAUAUAAUGUUUCACUUAUAUAAUGGAAAAUCAAUUAUAUCUUUAAUAAUUUUAUCAAAAUUUUUAUUUACUAUAUAUUAUUAACUUUUUUUUUAUAAUUAUAAUUUUUUUCAUAACAAUUGUAGUUUAAAAAUUAGAACACCUCAGUUCUAAAAAGAACCUUAGUGUACUAGUGAAAAUUAUUCGUGACCCAUAUCUUUAAUUUUUUGUUCAUAGCAAUCCCAAUUUACUUUUGGUGGCGAUAGUUUAAGGCAAUAAGCCGAACUCAUUUUCAUGAUAAAGACAGGCCUUAAGAUUGUUGGGAAAUGGGUGAUCAAAACUUCAAUAAAAUAGAAAGCCCAGCAAGCCAACAAACAUCAACCCAAACGAACAACAAAUUGCGUAAUCUAGAGAAGUUUGGAAUCGCAGGCCGAAGUGAAUUCUUCCACUCAAGUUACACAAAAUGCAUGUGCUUUCAUGUCAGCUGUGUUGGGCUUCGAAACAUUUUACUAACCGUCUUAACCUAGUAUGUGAUGAGAUGGAUCAUGUUCGUGUCCAUUCAUAAAAUAAGCCAUCGACUAAAUGCUUAAUUUUUGAGUAGUGCGAUUGACACCACUCUUUAAUAGUUUAAUAUUAUAAAAUCCCUCUUUUCGGCAAUUACAAUAAAGGACACUGAGACACUAUGGAUGGCAAAUUGAUGGUCGGUUGGGCUUUUCCAAGCCCAGCCCCUCUAAAAAAAAACUGCCUGAGUUCAGAUAGGCUAAGCAUGGAUCAGGCUUAUUGUAGGCUUGAAAUGGUUGCAAAUUGAUGAACAAAAGGUAAUUAAGUGAAAAAUGUCAAAGACAGAAAGUUUAAAUAAUAGCAUUAUAUAACAAAGCAACUCUAUGUUCAUUUAUCUGGAAAUUGAAUGCAAACUGUGGAAUAAGCAUCUUUACGAGAUAUAGGGGGCUGUUGAGGUGGACAAAAUCGGUGCAAAUCAUGGGUGUGCAUGAGUGUGAAAGUGUGCAUGCGUGAGUUUAUUGUUAUAAUUUUAAGAUUUUUGAGUCAUCAUUAAUUUUAGGAAUUAGGGAUUUACGAUUUUUUAAUUUUUCUAUUAAUUUUUUAAUUCUUUAGAUUUUAAUUUAUAAAUUUAAAUUCAGUUAUUUAAUAUAUAUAUAUAUAUAGAGAGAGAGAGAGAGAGGGGGGGGCUAGCUUGAGUUUUUUUCUUCUUAAGUCUUUAUCCAGAACCUGAUAUGAAGGGUCGGCCCGAUCCAGACCUUUUUACCAACCCUAGGUAACAUUCCCGCACUAAAAUCCACGAGUACUAUUCAGUCAUUUACUUCAAUCCAAUGUUACGUGUGGACACGGCUACCAUGCAGGGCAUAAAAUCCCUGUAUGGUACAGGGGCUGCCCUUGAUCCGUUGGAUUCAGCUUAUUUGAAUCCAAUGGUUGGGGUUUUAGUUUGAAAAAAAAAAGAAAAAAUGAAUAAAAGCAAAAAAAAAUAUGGCAACCGGUUCAAAGGGGGUAGUUACAGUACGUAAAAAAUUACCGUUGGAUUGAAUAGAGUGGAUCCAAUGGCUGAGAUUUGUUUUAUUAUUCAAUAAUUAAAAAAUUUUGAAAAAACAAACCUGUAAAAUUGAAAUAAACAAAAAAAAAACCCACCACUCACUCACUCACCUCACCCUCACCACUCCCUCACCUCUCCCUCACCUCACACACGUCAAACACCUCACCACUCCUCACCUCACACACGCCUCACCACGGCCAUCAACGGCGGCAGCUGAAGGAGUUCCUAGGCAACGAUCAACGGUGGCACAAGGACGGGCUGAUCUCCGCCGUCGGCAACGAUCAACGAAGGCAGAAGGAUGGGCUGAUGUUCUUCGUUGACAAUGAUCAACGGCGGCACAAGCACAACCCUGUUCCUCGUGCAAUCCAUCUCCAACACUAGAAUAGCUGUCGUCAAGGGCUUCGGUGGGACGCCACAACUAUUGCUCAACCACCUCUGCCCUGCUACUGUACCCUCUCCUCACCGCACGACAUCAGAACUAUUGUUCUAGCUUCGCCCCACAUUCUCUUUACCGCCAGAAUCAUCAAGCAAAACGUUAGUAUUAGAUUAGAUUUUCUGAAUUAAUUUAUAAUUAGGGUUUGAUUUGAACUGUAUCAAGGUUAGAUUUGAAUGAUUGAUUUGGGUUUGAUUUUAAUUGUUGAUUUGGGUAUGAAUUAAAUUUUUUAUUGAUUUAUAGUGUUGGUUUAUGUCUUUCCCUUCUCAAGCUUUUGGGCAACAGUGCAUGGAUCAACAGCAACAAAGAGCAGGGGCUACACAGGCACAGCCUCGGCUUCAGCCUUAGCCUCAACCUGGCGAUUUAUCUGCUAUACUCGGUGUAUUCCUCACUUCCAUUGCUAUUGUCUCACUGGCAAAUUCUCUCUUAUAUCCUAAUUCGUGCUUUUACGCAUAUUUAGUCACUUUCAAUCUGGUUUAUCAGUUAAUGGUGACUUAAAUCUUCUUUUUUUAAUUGUUUGAGUUGAAUCUUGUAGCUCUGUAAAUAUUAAGUGUUGGGUUCUCAUCUGAAUAAAGGGCUUUCCUUGGAGUGAAAUAGUGAAAUGAACAACGAUUUCAAUUGACUAGUUGUAAAGUUUAAUUCUUUCCUAAAAUGACCAGUUCAACAAUAUUAUCAUGGGCAGUGUUUUUACCCAGAUUUUGCUUGGUUGCUUGCCUACUAGUGUGAACACUUUAUUGCUUUGAAAACUCAUUUGCUAUAUUAAUGCUUUGGUGGUAAGUUUCUUGUAUGUAUAUCUGUAGUUAUAUUAUUUUGAUUAAAAUUUUCUAUAUUUAACUCUGAAACUGACUUGCUGGAUUUAAGUAAUAAUUAGUUAUUUUAGUGAAAGUUUGAGCAUUUGUGUAGGUAUGAAAGUAAUAUUAAGUUCAUUUUGAACAAUAGGUUGUUUUGAUGAAUAUAGCUUUUGAAUGAAUUUUCAGAUGAUGUCAAUGCCGAACAAUAGAUUGUCAUUGCUUCCUGGAAGAAUAGACCAAUCAAGUUACCCUUGUCGUACCUGGAAAUUAUUGGGAGGGGGCAGAAUCUGUUGGAUGAUGAACUUUGCUGCGGCUUUGUUGCAAUUUUGUUGGCUGCAGAAUUUUAGGCUUGGCUUCAGUAAAUAUAGGUUGAUAUUUGCAAGGCAACUUUUAUACGGCUUAUGUAAAAUUUUUUUCUUUUUCCAUUUACAUUGCUGGGUUUCGUUGUAGUUGCUGAGCAAGUGAGAGAACACAUUCAAUUUUAUACAACAAUUAUAAGUAUUGACCAUGAGACAAGAUACUGGAAAAUUGUUGUGUUAUUACCCCUCAAUGGUAAAAUGAUUGCAAUUGGUAUGGUGAUCACAAUUGAUGAUUUUGAAUGAAACCAUAUGUUUUAAUUAUUUAUUUAUCUUGUUAUUUAUUUUAAUAAAGCUUAGUUUAUUUCAUUUGCAUGGAUGUUUAUUUCACAAGAUACUUAUUUGAAAAAUGUCAAAAAAAAAUGUUAUAUUGCUAAAAAAAUAAAUACGUUGUUAAUAAGCUGUGUUGGGCUUUUACUUUAAAACUACUUACCUUUCUUUCUUUUUUUAUUUGCCGUAAAUUUAUGCAAUAUAUCAAUCCACUUUUUUUUCGGAGAUGGUGCUUGUAAUAAGGUUGGAUGAUGCACUUGGUGUAAUGUACUAGAUUUUGGUGGAUUUUUAGGAUGAUAUGUAGAAAAUAUUAUGUUUGACAUAGGAAUAGUUAAUUUGAUUUAUUUUCAUAAAAUUGUGUUUCCUAUAAUUAGUUAAAAUAAAAUAAAAAUAAAUUGAUUAAAUUGAUUUAGCGGAAUGGGGAAAUAAGCCUAUAAAUUUGUAUGAGAAUUAAUAGAAUUAAAACUGGUUGUAAUGUAAGGUUAUUUAUAGUGGAGAUUUUGGCUAUAAAAAGCGCCGGCAAAAUAUAAGAGUUCUUCUGAAUUUAAAAGUAAAUUUGGAUUGGAAUAUUAUUAUUUUGUUAGUUACCUUUAUUCAUAAUACAAAUACUUCGAAAGUGGUUAUAUUUGUAAAAAAUUAGAAGAAAAAUGUUAACAAAAUAAUAUUAUUGAAUGUCUAAAACGAACACUUGUAGUCUAAGGUAUGACCAUUGAAAGAUUAAAAUCGGUGUACAAAAUUCAAGUGAAACAGUUAGAUUUAAGACUAAAUAAAUAGUAUUCGUACAAUGAGUGUUGUUAAAUCUCUUAAUAUUCUUCUAAUGCUUAUGUUAAAGUCACUUUACAAAAUGGUGGAUUAAAAAUUUUCGGGUGUUUGGAAAAUAAUUAUCUAAAACAUUGAAUAGUAAAUUUAAAACACAUUACUUAAAAUAUGUAACAAUGAGUACCUCCGUAACAAUGAACAUAAACAUCAAAUAUGAAACUUCGAACUUAAAACAUAAAACAUGAACCAUAAACAUGCAAAAUAGAAAAAUUUUAAGGUAUUUAAAAAUUAUUACAUAAAACAUUGAACAAUAAAUAUGAAACACGUUACUUAAAAUAUGCAACAACGAACAUAAAAUAUGAGUACCUCCGUAAUAGUGAACAUUAAACAUAAAACAUGAAACAUAGAACAGCAAACAUGAAAUACAGAACGUAAACAUGAAACGGAAGCAAAAAAGAAAAAUUUCGGGGUAUUUGAAAAAUUAUUACAUGAAACAUUGCACAACCAACGUGAAACAGAUCACUUAAAAUAUGCAACAACAAACAUAAAAUAUGAGUCCCUCCGUAACAGUGAACAUGAAACAUAAAACGUCAAACAUGAAACAUAGAACGUAAACAUGAAACGGGGGCAAAAAAGAAAAAUUUCGGGGUAUUUAAAAAAUCAGUACAUGAAACAUUGGACAACCAACAUUAAACAGAUCACUUAAAAUAUGCAAUAACGAACAUAAAAUAUGAGUCCUUCCGUAACAGUGAACAUAAAACAUGAAACAUGAAACAUAAAAUAUAGAAUAUCAAACAUGAAACUUGAACGUAAACAUGAAACGGGGUAAAAAAGAAAAAUCUUGGGGUAUUUAGAAAAUCAGUACAUGAAACAUAAAACAUAAAAUAUGAAACUUAAAAUGUUAAACAUGAGAUAGAUUUUAUAAAAAAUAAUAAAAUUUUUGUCUUUUUGUUAACACACAUUUUAUUUUAUUUUUUAAAAUAUUUAUAAUAAAAAAUAUUUUUUCUAUUUUUACUUUACUUGUCCUUUUCUACUUCUUAUUAUUAUUAUUUUUUAAAUAUUAUUCGUUUUAAAUAUUUUUUAUUUUAAUUUAUUUAAAUAAAAAAAAUACAUAUUAAUGGCAGCAACCGGCUGGAAAACCGGUUGCUGCCAGUAAUAAAAGUUGUUUGGCAACAACAAAGGGGUCAAUAAAUUGACCCCCUCUAUGAUACAGGGACUUUGAGUCCCUGUAUCACAGCCGUGUCCUUAUCGUGUUCAUUUGCAUGUAAUGUUCUAUUCUUAAUCAAGUCCUUAUAGUCAUAAAAAAAAUUGUAAGAAAAUAUAGACUUGGAGAUUGCUUCUAAUUCCUAAUUUAGAGUAUACUGGACCGAAACAAUGAUUUGGCAUUUAAGAUUUUAAUCACAAAGAAACAUGUGUUUUCUGAUUAUUAUUUUUUUUUUGAGGGAGAAAAAUGAUAUUUAGAAGAAGGAUAAUUUAUUUUUUGAAUUAAAAAACCAGUGUUAAUAGCAAUAAUUUUUUGAAAUUAGAUAAUGGGGUGUACAAAAGGUGGGAUUUUAAGAGGAUAUCAGAGUGAGAAUAGCACCACUCUCAUAGCUCUAUUUCAAAUCUGGUACUGAAAAUUGGUGUCUCGAAUGUUAACAUAAAAGUGGUCGGGUGCUACACUUCUCAAUUCUUAGGUGUUUUUGUGACGUUUCUUGAAAUCUUAGUAUUUACUUAAAUUUUAGUGAAAAAUUAGGCGGUUACGUGAAUUUUUUUUAUUUAAAAAAGGUAUAGUUUUGCAUGUAAGUAACCAAUUUACCCUUGUGAUACGUUGUAAUGGUGGUUAUUGUAAAAAUAAUUAAGUAAUACAUCUGUCAAAUAAUAGGCGGCUUUGUGUCAUUUCUGCCAACCUUUGUGUUUUUUUCUUGACCAAAAGUUUGGUUGUCAUACGAUAAUUUCCCAUAAGCGAAUAAACACCUGGGAAAAGGACAUUCAACCCUUCAACGUUUAAGAAAAGGGACAAAAAAUCCCUCAACGUUUCAAAAAGGAUUUAUAACCCCCUUUCCAUUAACAAACACCGUUUGUUUUAACAGUAAAUUUAUUUUUAAUUUUUAAUUACUAUUAUACCCUUAUAAUAAAUAAAUUAAUAUAUUAAUUUAAGAUAUAUCACAAUUAACAACUGUCAUCUAGCUAGCGUGGGGCCGUGGGUUGGAAUCGUUCUUUUAUGUUUUGACCAAAUCAAUAAAGUAUGGUUUUAAAAAAAAACUCUCGAUUCCUUAAUCAAAUGUACAAUAAAUAUUAACUAAUUCACUAGCACUCAUCUCAAACCAAAAUAAACUAAUAAAAAAAUCAUUAAUUUUCAGCACCAAAACGAAGUAUCAUGACAAACAAGAAACAACCCAGCCACCUACAUACCCAAAACCCCAAAAAUCCAAAACUUAUACACCAAGAAGCCCAAAAAAAGCCGUAUAAUUCAGGUUCAAUGUUUGAACAUAGAUUCUUUUCAUGAUAAUGAAAUCAUUUAUAUUUAUUUUUAUAAUAAAAAAUUACAAAAAGAUAAAAAAGAAAAUUAGCAACUGCAGUUCGAUGAACAUGGAUACUAACCAAAACUUCUUUCAAAGAACAGGUUGAACUUUAUCUUUCACUAUAAGUGUCGCCAUCAAGUCAAUCUAAUGUAAUGGUUUUGAUUCCUCAAAGAAAAAGGGUUUAAUCAAAUUUUAUUUUAUUAGUAAUAAUCACAUAUGAAAGGUUUGAUCAUUAGAAAUGUAUAAUUUAUAGCAAAUAAUUUGGGUAAAAAUGUAAUUAUAUCUCAAUUUUUAGUUUUAAAAAAAUUAUUAAUUGUGACAUGUCUGAAAUCAAUAUAUUAAUUUAUAUUUAUUAUAAGGGUAUAAUAGUAAUUAAAAAUUAAAAAUAAAUUUACUGUUAAAACAAACGGUUUGUUAAUGGAAAGGGGGUUAUAAGUCCUUUUUGAAACGUUGAGGAGUUUUUUAUCCAUUUUCCUAAACGUUGGGGGGUUGAAUGUCCUUUUCCCUAAACACCUACUAAACCACAAUAUUUUGUUUUAAAAUCGAUUGCAAGUUGACAACGGAUUUAGGUACUUAAUCUAAAAGAUUAGUAUUUCGGACGUAGUGAGAAUCUAAAUAAAUUCCUUUAAUUGAUUAAUGUGAAAUACAACUCCAUACACACACACACACACGCACAUGUAGGAAAAUUUUCCAAUCGGAAAUCUUGUUUACAACAUUAAUCAAGGCCACAAGAGUUGCUCAACCUUUUCACAAUUUAUGUAAUUGUCUUGGACCUCUCUUAAAAUCAAAGCUGAUGUAGGACAUUAUUUUAGAAUUCUAGAAUUUUUAUUAUUUUAGAAUUUUCUAUUCUAAUUAGAGUCAAUAAUUUUAUGUGUUUUAGUCCUUUAUUUCUAUGAUAAUUAUGAUUUAGUUUCCCUUUUAAAAUUAACUUAGAGAAAUAUAUUUAUUUUAUUAUAAAUAGAGAGGUAUUGUCAUUGUUUUCAUAACUUUAGCAUCAAUUAUUCAAUAAAACUGUUUUAUAAUUCCAUUUGGAAUUAUCUAUCAAAAUCUCUCUUGUAGAGUCAUUUGGAUUAGAGCGUCAUCUAAUCUCGUUUCAUGUUUAAUUAAAAAUCUCAUUGAGUUGUUUGGAUUAGAACGAGAUCUAAGCACGCUUCAAUUAGUGUAUAAAUUAAUCGCGUUGACUUAGUCCUAUCUAGAACGAUACCUAGUGUUUCCUACUAUAUCAAUUUGCUUCUGCUACACCGCUCCAUCAUUUGGUAUAAGAGGACAACACCUUUUCAUAGAGUGACUAGUAAGAUCAAGUAAAAGAUAAAGCAUGGAGAAUUUUGAGUUUCAAGAUUGAUUGAUGAGUAAGGUUGCAAGUUCAAUCUCAAAGAUGCAUUGAUACUCUACUACAAGUUCUAUCCUCCAGAUAACUCGAGGACGAGUUUCCUUUUAAGAGAGGGGGAAUGACUUAGAAUGUUAUUUUAAGAUUCUAGAAUUUUAUUAUUUUGGGAUUUUCUAUUUUAAUUAAAGUCAAUUAUGGUAUGUGUUUAGUAUUUUAUUUCUAUUAUAAUUAUGAUUUAUUUUACCUUUUAAAGUCAACUUAGGAAAGUAGGUUCACUCUAUUAUAAAUAAAGAGGUCUAAUUAUUGUUUUCAUAACUUCAGCUUCAAUUAUUUGAUAAAACUCCUUUUUAUAAUUUCCUUUAGGAUUAUCUAUCAAAAUAUCUCUUAUAGAGUCGUUUGGAUUAGAAUGACAUCUAAUUAUAUUUCGAUUAAAUCAUAAUUAAUUGUGUUGGCUCUGGCCAGUGCUAGAAAAAUAUCUAGUACCCAUCUGCCCUAUCAAUUUCGCUUCUGCUACCAUGUUCCAUCAAAGGCCCCAUCUUAAUAUUCUUUCCUACUAAAAACUAUUUUAUAUUUACUUUAUUGUUUAAAAAGUAAAAAAUCCGUUAAUAAUUUUGUAUCUAAAAACAUAAAUCUUUUAAACAUUAAUCAAUAUCAUUAUUAACUUUCACUUUGAAAAGAAAAGGUCAACUUUUGAAAUUUCGUUCAAGCCGUAAAAUUCAAUUUGAGCCGGCCCGAAACUAGGUGGCACUCGCUAUCAUUGACUGGUUGUGUUUAUACACACACACAUAUAUAUAAAGGGGUUGGCACCUCUGAUCUUAGUAACACUGCGAGAAAUGAAGCCGCAUCACUCUUUCUUUUGCCCAAAAAUUCUCCCAGUUACUUUUAUUCUUCUAUUAUCUUUUUUUGGGGAGAGUUUAGCUGAAAAUCAUGAAAAUUUUCUUAAAUGUCUUUCUCUACAAUCCGACACCAUCUCUAAAGUGAUUUACACCCAAAACAACUCUUCAUAUUCAUCAGUAUUGGAGUCUUCGAUACAAAAUCUUGUAUACUUAGCACCCACGAAACCAAAACCUCUAUUCAUCAUCACUCCAUUUCACGUAUCCGAAAUCCAAGCAACCGUUAAAUGCUCCAAAAAAUAUGGCCUACAAAUUAGAGUUCGAAGUGGAGGUCAUGAUCACGACGCUCUUUCUUCUGUUUCCUAUGUUCCAUUUAUCAUCGUCGAUUUGAUAAAUUUUAGCGAAGUCAGUGUCGAUGCAGAAGAAAAGACGGCAUGGGUUCAAUCUGGUGCUACCGUUGGCCAACUUAAUUAUAGAAUUGCUGAGAAGAGUCAAAAUCUGUUGGCCUUUCCGGUCGGAACUUGCCCUACUGUGGGCGUUGGUGGACACUUAAGUGGUGGUGGCUUUGGUCCUUUGUUGCGUAAAUACGGUGCUGCUGCAGAUCAUGUAGUUGAUGCUCACAUGAUUGAUGUCAAAGGUGAGAAAUUUUAAAGAGCAACAUCGAGAAAAUAGUAGACACUGUCAUUGUUAUUUUAGUUCUUGAGUAAAUUAUCCAAUCAUUUUCAAUAUUUUCAAAAAUUAUCUAAAACACUAUUAUAGAUUUAUUUUAUUUUAUUUUAGCCUAAUUAUAAUUCAAUCUCCCUUAACUUAUGUGAAUGGGGUUGAAAUCCAAACCUUUUUGUUUUCAAAACAAAAGAAAAAUAAUACAAUUAAUUAGAAUAAUUUUGGACGGAUUUAUAAACAAUUAUUAAUCAAUCAAUUAUUAUUAUUAUUAUUAUUAUUAUUAUUAUUAUUAUUUGUAAACCAAGGACUGAAAUUAAUUUUUAAGUUAAGAAAUAGAAAUAAUAUCAUUUGUUGACUUGUCUUCACUUCUAUCAUAUAUUGACUUGUCCUCAUUUCUAUCUUUGUAUUUGAUAAUUUUCAGGUAGAUUUCUGAAUAGAGAAUCAAUGGGAGAAGAUCUGUUUUGGGCCAUUCGCGGAGGCGGAGGAGCUAGCUUUGGAAUCAUUGUUUCAUGGAAAAUAAAUCUAGUCGCUGUUCCAUCAACUGUGACUGUAUUUGCUAUCCCAAGAACCUUGGAACAAAAUGCAACAAAGCUGCUUAACAAAUGGCAGCACAUUGCAGAUAGAGUCCAUGAAGAUUUAUUCAUCUCACCCAUCUUAUUCAGAAUGAAUUCAACCAUGGUCUCUAUAUUCACAUCCUUAUUUCUUGGUGGGAUUGAUAGGCUACUUCCAUUGAUGCAGGAGAGCUUCCCCGAGCUCGGUUUGACUAAACAAGACUGCAAAGAAAUGAGCUUCAUUGAAUCUGUCGUCUAUCUUGAUGGAUUCGGAAUUAGUGAGUCAGCUAAUGUGGAUGUAUUGCUCAGUAGGAAUUUUCCCAAAAAAUCUUUCAAAGGAAAAGCAGACUAUUUGACAGAGCCAAUUCCUGAAGAAGCUUUUCAAGGAAUUUAUGAUAUAUUUUUUGAAGAGGACGAGAAAACCAUCGGCCUUCUACAAUUUUUUCCUUAUGGUGGGAAAAUUAGUGAGAUUUCGGAGCCAGAAAUUCCAUACCCACAUAGAGCUGGCAACAUAUACACACUUCUAUACUUUGUGGACUGGGGACAAGACACAACUAAUGAAGCAUUUCAAAGGCAUGAUAAUAUGAUCAAAAAGUUGUUCAAUUAUACGACUCCCUAUGUAACCAAAAAUCCUCGAUCUGCAUAUAUUAACUACAGAGAUCUUGAUAUCGGAGCAAAUAGCAACGAAGGCCCAAUAAGUGUCGAAGAAGCCAGCGUUUGGGGCAAAAAAUAUUUCAAGAACAAUUUCUACAGGUUGGUGCAUGUGAAAACCAUGGUCGAUCCUGAUAAUUUCUUCAGAAAUGAACAAAGCAUUCCCCCUUUCCGCUUGGUGAAAGAUGAAUUGUGAGCAAGUCCAGAGCUUCCCUGUUAACAGACCUUCAUAAUUUCGCUGCAGGGUCAGACACAUAUAUCUGAUUAUUGUAAUGCUAAAUAAUUUCUGCAUUUUUAUUAUUUCUUUUUUAUAUAGAGCUUUUGCAGCGUCUUUACUACGUUCCUUGAAUACGUGUAGCUUAUCAUUUUAUUAUUAAUAAAGAUUUUCUCGCUCCGUCUAGAUUUUGCUUUCGGCGUUCUGGUGGGUCUGAGGCAUCAGGUUGUAUUGUUAAAUAAAUUCCACCUUGUUGAUUUGACAACCGAUUAAAUAUACAUUUUUUUUUUCUCUUUGUUUCCGCAAAUCAAUUUUAAACGUUAUAAUCGCUUUAUCGUCCUGAUUUUUAAUUAAUUUUAUUUCGCUAAUCAGGGAAUCUUUUAAAAUUUUCCCCAAAAAAAAUCGAUUCUUAAAGAAAAUAAAAUAUAAAAAAAUUAAUAUAACCUUUACCAACACUCUAUAAUUCCUUCUUUUAAAUUAAAAAAAAAAAUCUAACACUGGAAAUUAACAAAAGCAUCAUUCCGUUGACUUCCGACGACUUGGAGGAAGACGAAAAAUGAUAAGAAGUCAUUGUCAGGUUAAGGGUCCCAUUUUCAUAAUUUUCUUUUAGUUAGCAAGAAAACAAAACUAUGUUAACAUUGAUUUACUAAAAGUCGGUGAUGGUUACUAAUAUUAGAAAAUAAACGAAAAUGUAUAUAAAGAAUUAUUUUAAAAAAAUAACUAUGUUUUAUCUUAAACAUGGGUUCUGAGCCGAGCCCACGCUUUUUGCACAUAUUGUAUAGUAAUAUUAUAGUUAAUAUAAAUGUAAAUAUAGUAACAUAUAUAGUUAGAAUAACACACAUAGAAUUAAUAAGGAUCUCGCACUUUAUCUCAAUUUAGGCUAUUAGAUUUUUAUAUUAAAAUCUGGCCAUGAUAUGGCCCAACAUAUGCAAAUUUUAUGAGCCAAUAACUUUAAUUGAAAUUCUACACUGUUAUAAAAAGCACUCAAACAAAGACAAUUAACUGAAAGUACCAUGGGCUUUAUUCAUAAUGAGUUUGCCUUUAUACAGGCAGUACAAUAACAAACUUAACAAACCAAGUACAUAAUAACAUUACUAACACUAAACACUAAGUUUUUUUUUUUUUUUUCAGUCAGAAAUAUGAAUGAGUCUCAAUUUUUUUUGAAGUCUGAAUGUAUUUGAAUAUAAAUAUUUAAAUAAUACGCUUGUUUUUCUUAUUUUAAUAUCUAAAUAUAAGUUGUAUCUUGUUGUAUUCUGUAAAUGAAAAAUAUCUUAAAUAUAGUUAUUAAACAUUUACAUGCUUUUAAAAUAAUUAAAAGAUUAGGUUUUAUAGUUUAGAAAAUAAAUUUUGAUAUUAUUAGCCUGUUAAAUAUUUUUAUAAUAUAAUAUUCACUUCUCAUUCAAACAUAAUUUUUUUCGAUUUAGAUAAAAGUUAUAAAAGUUUAUUUUUUCUAUUCAGAUAUAAAUAUUUGAACGUCAAACAUAAGUUACCAAAAACAAGCAAGUAAAUUUUGGAAAAAGUUUGAAAUUAAUAAAAUUUCAGAUUCCAGAAGUUAAACAAAUGAACCCUAAAUCAACAUAGUACUUUAUUGACAUAACUAAGGAAUUUCCAACAUUUACUUUAGUUAAAUUACGGGAUCUCAAAGUAGAUAAUAAUUGUAGUAUUAUAUAUAUACAAUUGAUUUUAAUAUAAAAAGAUAUACUUUUUAAAUUUAUUUUGUGUAUGAACAUAAAUAUGUCAAUACUAUCAAUUUAUCUUACAUGUGUUAUUAAUAUCGAAAUCUAUUAACCAAAAGAUUUGUGUAAAAUUUUUAUAAUAAAUGUGAUUAUAAUAUACGUCAAAAUAUAAUAUAAUAUAAUAAAUAAAUUAUUUUACAGUUUUCAGCAAAAUAUUAAAACAUAUUUUAUAGCAUUAGACUGUUAAUUAAAUAUUUUACUAAUAACAUUACAUUUUUAUUUAUUUUAAAAUAAUAAAAUCAAAUUUUUUUGGUUGCCAUAGGUAAAGAUUAUGAUAGUAAAAGAAAAAAAAUUAUUUAACAAUUUUUUAAAAAAUUGAGAGAUGUCUAUGUACAUUUAAAUAAACCAUAGGUGAUAGGACCUAGUUUUCCUAUUUUGAGUACAUUUAAGUAAAAAUAGGGUCUAGUUUUCCUAUUGGCAUAAAAGAAUUGUAAAUGCAUGAGCUUGGUCCAUUUUCAAACCCAAAGCACCAAACUGCUACCAAUGCAAUGAAGUAAUGUACGUGUCGUUUUUGGGUUAUUCCAAACUCGUCCAACAAAUAUGAUGUGAUUAAUUGAAGAAUGCUAUAACUCGCAGUGUAAACGAAAAUUUUCAUAAUAAAUUAAUGAUUUGAAUGUCUAAUUUUUCCUCUUUGCCGUUGAUUUACUUAUUAUUAUUAAUUUUUUAACAGCUUUGCGUGUAAUUUGAUUUUGAAAGGAUCAAUAUAAUAUGGGAUGUUUGAAAUUAUCCAUUUUAAAUCUAAUAAAUCUCCAUUGUCGUGUAGAGGUUGGCCAAAUAAUAAUAAUAAUAAUUGUAACAGUUGGUUGGUGAUCUCAUAAUCAGAAAAAGAAGUAGCUAAUGGAUUGUUCAAACAUUCAAAUGCUGUUUAUUAAACAUCUAUUUUCGUCUGUUUGACCCUUUUGACCGUUCUAGUUUGGUUGUCGGACUUCUGGUAUCACAUUUUUAUCUCAAGUUAUGAAAUUGUACGAGCACUCAUAUUUGAACACCGUCGAGAUAAAUAGUAUGAUAAUAUUAUUCAAAAUGAUAAUAUUAUUCAUGUUACAGUAUUCGGUUCUAUGUAUUUUAUUAGUAGUCAAAAUUAUUUUUCUUAGAAGAAAAAGUACCAAUUGUAUCCCAAAGUUUUGAAAAAUGGUUAUGCACAUCAAGAGAUUUCUCAAAAGAGUCAUUAACAACUUUUUUUUUUCUAUAAUACUCUUUCAAUAUAAUAGCUAAUAAAUUGACUUUAAAAUUUAUUAAUAUAUACAAAUAUAAUAUAAAUAACAUAAUAUUCUUAGAGACAAAUAAAAUUAAAAUUUUUAGAUAUUUAAAAUAAUUUUAAAUAUUUAAAUUAUUAUAUUUAUUUUGAUAACAUACUUGUGUUUAUUAUAAAGUUUUUAAGUAAGUGUUUCACUUAAAUAGAUUUUAUAAGUAAUAAAAUAUCUCAAAUAUUAAUAAUAUUAAAAUAAUUAUUUUACAUAUUCAAAUUAAUUUUAAAUUUUAUUUUAUUUAUUUUAAUGUUAUGGUUCUAUUUAUUAUAAAUAAAUUUUAAUAUAAUAAAGUAUGUCUAAUCGACUGUAAAUAUUAAAUACUAAUACAAUUAUUUAUUAUAAAAUAAAAUAUUGGAAUUAAUUUUUAUCAAUAAAAUAAAAAAAAUAUGAUUAAAAAAAAAAGAGUCCUUGUAUUUUUUAUUGAAAAGUAAAACUAGAGGGUGGUAUAGGUGUCCACCCCAUUUGUUAUUGUAAUAUUUAUUCGGUCUCUAUGUCAUAGUUAUUUAAUCAACAAAAAAAUUGAGUUUUACACGUUAUUAUUAUUGUGGAGCUUUUGGGAUACGUGUUCUUUCAUUUAGGAAAUUAAGUUGUAGAUUGACUGGUAAAAUACUUUUGUUUAUCACACUCAUGAUGUGGUCAGAUUUACCAGAUAAAUGAUAAACCUCCCUUGGCUCGUAAAAGGCCAAGAGUGCAAUCAUGUCAACAUCCAAUAUCAAAUAACGUUAAAAAAGUUGCAUUAUAUCGCCAACAAAAGUAUAAAUUCGUUGAACAAAGACUACCACAUAACAUUUUCAGAUACGUGAUAAAAUAGGAGUUUGAAUAGGUGUUCUUUCCCUUAGAAAAAUUAACUGGCAGAGUGACAGUCAAAAAACGUUUUGUUUAUCAAACUCAUGCUGUGGUCAGAUAUUCGGACUUUCAUGUCACAAUAUUCAUUGAUCUAAUUCGAAAGAUCAAAUUUGUAGGCGGGGACUUGAACCAUUAUCUUCUUUCAAAGAUCCAGCGAGUGAUCUAUACAGUAAAAUCAUUAUAA
RNAcentral lists this long non-coding RNA (56136 nucleotides) under Citrus x clementina. RNAcentral's name for it is "Citrus clementina (C. clementina) long non-coding RNA (CCLE_LNC002426)". The record is from RNAcentral. Lineage: Eukaryota; Viridiplantae; Streptophyta; Magnoliopsida; Sapindales; Rutaceae.